This 77047-nucleotide long non-coding RNA is filed under the name Prunus persica (peach). Its description in RNAcentral is "long non-coding RNA (PPER_LNC007514)". Lineage: Eukaryota; Viridiplantae; Streptophyta; Magnoliopsida; Rosales; Rosaceae. The record is from RNAcentral.
CCAAAUGGGACACUACCAUCAUUCAAUUCAAUGACAAAAAUCGUUGGCUUUUAUCAUCCAUCCGAAUUUGUAAGCCUCAAUUUGUUGUUGCACAGCAAUCUAACAGCAUUCUCUGUUUUUCUGUGUUGCUUUUGGUGGGAGAAAGAAACACACGAGAAAAUGGAUGCACCGCCAGGGUAUCAAGAAAUGUCGAGUGUUGAGCAUAUUAAAAGGCGCCAUGAGGAGAAAGGCUGCCUCUACGCUUGGUUAGUAUGAACUCGGUCAGUUACCCUUUUACUCAUCCUUUUUCGACUGAAUUUAUAUAUAUAUAUAUAUAUAUAAUUGUUUCCCCCCUUGCUUUUGUGAUUGUUGUGACGCAGUUUGUUUACCCUGUGUUGCUGUUUCUGCUGCUAUGAGACUUGUGAAUGUUGUUUAGACAUACUUUGCUGUUCCUGCUCUUGAUAACAUGGAGAGGGGAGAGGAGAGAAAUAUUUCUCAUGAAUAAAUUAUGUAAUUGGUUUUUAAGGGAAGACAUAAACUUCUUCAAAUAAUUCCAUUUUCCCGGUGAAAAUGGAUGAAAUCCUCAAUUCCGUUUUAGAUUUGAGCUUAUAUAUGCAUCUGUAAUAUGUAAUAUGUAAUAUGUAUAUGAAUAUGAAGAUAUGGUGUGGGUACCUUUACUGAAGGAAAAAAUAUAUAGUGAUCAGUACAAUAUUUUGAUAUCUAAUUCGAUGAUUACUUUCCUUUGCCAGCACACCUUAAACUAAUUAUCACACACAUCUCUUUUUAACCAACAUAUCUUUUCACAAGCAUGUAAAUUUCGGUUAUCAAUAAUAUCCGAGACAUGCAAUGAUUAUGUAGAGCACCUGCUGUAAGGCACGAUUAAAUUAAAUAGGGCUGGACACGGUUCGGUAACUUUGGCCAACAGAAAAAAUUCAACAAAAUUCAAGAGAAUGAUCUUAAGUCCCACCCGGCUGCCUGUUUUGCAGCUGAAAAACGUAUAGAACACUACUGGUUUAGAAGACACAGAAAAUAUGCACGACGGAAAAUAAGUAAAUUAAAUGCACACGUUCUCUAUAUCCCCAAUAUAUGUUGAGCAAGAUACAGUAACCAUCAUUAUCCACUAACACAUGCUUUAAAAUUUCGUGUACAUAAUUGUCACAGCCAGUGUUUACCUUAACUCACUAAUCCGUCUCGAAGUAUCAGUUCCUCAAAACCCUCUGUGAAGCCCGCUUAUCAGUAGGUUAGCAUUUAGAAAACUCUUUUUCAAAUCAUGGUUUACAAGGACACACGCUAUGGUGCUGGUACAUGGUUGAUCUGAGCUGACGAUCAUUCAGUUGAGCAGGUUAAUUUCAAAAGAUGUAAGUGCAGGCAACGGAAGUGAGAAUUGUUGUCAGCAGUAUUGACACAACAUUCACAGCAUUGUUGUCAAGAUAGUUAAGACCUGAAAUUUUCUUAACUGUAGGCCCUGGUUUUCCAACAACCUAGAAAAGAAAACAAAAAAGAGUUGGAAUGAGAUUAAUUGAGCAGAAAGUGGAAAGAAUGAACUAAGAGUUACGCAGAUUCAAUUGUUGCCUUCAUGGAAACAUAAGAUUCACGUUUGCCUUAACGCACUUUAUUACGAACAGUGCAGAAUCCACUGAAUUGCAGUGUUGCUCCCAAAAGAGAAUCAAUGAGGCUGCCACAUAGUCCGGCAAGAGUAGAAAUAGGUAUCACCAACAGCUGCUUCAGUGCAACAUCAUAUGUACAUUUUGUAGUGGGAAAUCCAAAGACCACAUAUGUGAGUCCGACAACCGAGCCUGCAGCUGCAGCUGCCAGUAAUCCUGCUUUUGUAACUCCACCAUUUGUACCCUUCCGAACAGGCUGCCAACAAUGUGGAAACCAAAUUAGUAUCCACAGUGUACUUAUUCCAGCAGCCAGCUAAGUUCUUUUCUUCUAUCCUGCCAAAUAUUUUUCCCCAUAACCCUGUAAAUCCCAAUCGUGAUAGGAUAGACCCCACAUCUUCAACUUUGAAAGCAAGGUAAAUUCUUAAUAACAUUAGUCUAUGAGGCCAUUGGUAAAUCUUUAGAACAGUAAAAAGAAUAAAAGAUGCACAAAUGACACUCAUAAGCAUAGCAAGAAUGUGAAAUAAGAUUUUACAAGAGAGAUGUGAAAUGGGGUAAACAAUAAUGAUACAUGUACUAUUUUUAACAUUGAGUUAAAGGGCAAGUUUACUAGAUAAGUAUCCAGAAGAGAGCCGUCAAAAACAUUGUGACAAGCAAGACUUUAAUGUGUAUGAAUAAAUGGGUGCGCUCAAAAUAAAGCCAGAAGCGCAGAGCCGGGCAUAUGCAGCAUGGCAGAACAAGAUAGGGGAAAAUCCAAACUUCUUAAAGAAUAAAACUCACAUAAGCAAAAUUAUUGAUUUGACCAAAAACCCAAGUGAGAAGAACACUAAAAUCUGGGGUUGAGCAUACGAACCUUGAAGGUUGUGAUUAACCGAGGCUGAGCAUCGCUAAGUAUUCCAAGCUCAGAAGACCAAGUGUCUCCAUUGCAGCAAGCAUAGUGACCUAUAACCCCACCAAUCAGUGAUGUAAUGAAAACCGACUCUUUCGAGUCCAAGCAUUUGUCUUGCAACCCCGUUUUUGCCCACAGAACAAGAACCAAGACUGAAGCAAUCCCGCUGUUUGAUAAAACUUGUACCCAAUUUCUUUGACCGCCCUCUUUGAAAUCAGCGUCAACGCGACGCUUCUUGUCUUCACCAACCUUGGUCAGCUUUGACGAUGUGAAAAAGAACACGAGCAACAGAGCUCCGUACCUUCAAAUUUUUUUACAAAGAUGAAAAACUUUAUUAAACAAUUCGCCCUUUUGGGAUUUGGAUGCAGAGAAAGAGAAAGAGAAAGAGGAAAGAGGAAAGAAAAUCGGCGUGCCUGUAUCCGAUUGCAAUGUGAAUGGUCAUGACAGCAAAACCCGCGAUUGCUCCUGAGAGGUCCAGGGAUUUUCUACGGUAGGCUCUGGCGGCGAUCAACGACGAGAUUAGAAGGGCGAUUAACGGUUGGAUUAAGAGUUUAUCCAUGUUUGCGGCUCUAAGCAUGUAAAUUUUUGUUUUCACGAUUAUGGUGGAAAGGAAACUAAAGGAUAGAGUGGAAAGAAUGACUGCUCUCACACCACGCACCGAGCCUCGUUUUUGGUAUAUUGUCUUUUUUUGGCGGCCUACACUGACCCAACUUUUUAUUUAUUUUAUUGAGAACGGGUAGUGGACCUCACUUCAAUUGGUCACUCCCCCCCACAUUUUCAUCCAAUUUAAGAGAAAAAUGGAGCCCACCUAAUUUCUUUAAUGGAGAAGCACCAUAUGAUAACCACAUGGCAAUCCACGCAACAAUAUGUUUAUAGCCGGCACACAGAAAGUUGAUUUAUUUUCCUUUUUCCCUAAAUAAGUGAUUGGUCCCACAGAAAGUUUAUUUGAACAGCUAUGCAAAGCCUACCAACCCUUUUUCGUGUUUAGAUAAGAGUUUAUUCUUGGCUGAGGCUGAUCAAUCAUUUCAUUUUGCCUAAAAUUUUAGGCUUUAAUUUCACCCCAGACAGAGAAGAAGAAGACAGCUUCUUGUUGACAAUAGAAAAAGACCACAAUCAGUGGAACUGCAGCUAAGCCAGCAAAAUUUUAAGAUUACCAUCAUCACCAUAUACAUAUCAAAACAAAAAAACAAAAAAAAUUACCCGACACACAAAAAAUUGAUGAGAAUACAACAAAACGAGGUUUUAAAACGUCAACGAAAUCCUCCUCUUCCCCUCCCCCCUCCUCUACUCCUCCCCCGCCCCCUUCCUCUUCCUCUUCCCCUCCCUUCAUGUCCCAUUCCACGACCACCGUCGUCAUCCCUUUGGAAGUUAAACAUGCUCAUUUUUAUAUUCUCUGCAUUCACAUCACGAGGAGGACCUUUUUGUACCUGAAUUGCAGCAUAAUGACAUCAAAUACUUUCAAUACAACAACAAUGACAAAAAUAAUGCUCAUAAGAUGCAGAGGCACUGACAUGAUAAUCUUCCAAAUCAAAUUGAUUUUGGAGCUGCCUUGCAAGUUCCUCGUCGCGACUGCUCUGUGCAAAGGGAUUUCUUAUUGAAGGCUUUGCUCCAGCUUUCCUCUUUUCCCAUUCAUCCAAAGUGAACACCACGGGCUCUUCCUCUUGCCUCCCCUUUCCUCUAUAUUGUCUACCUCUUGAAUGCCUGUCAUCCCGGUUUUGAUGACUCAUUUUCUGGAGGAGUUUUUGUGCAGCCGCUUGGUUUUGAACAGGGACAGCUUCAAUUACUGUAGAAGCCAUGGAUACAUCAGUAUCACAUUACAAAGUAAACAGAAAUGUAGAACAUUUACAAUAAAAUAAAUACACAAGUCAACUGAAUGCAGUUGUGUGAAUUUUGUAAUUAAUCCAUUUUACAUAACCGUUGAUCUGGACAUAAUUUAAAGAGGAGCAAAAAUUCUCCAUUUUUAAGAUUCAAGUAUUACUCUGACACCUUCCACCUGUCUCAUCUACAAGCACAUAUGCCCCACUAGUAACAAUCAUUCAACAAACCUGCCACACCCCCUCCCCGCAUUCUUUUCUCCCCAAGUGCAUAAAAUCAAACUUAAAUUAUAUGAGUUACAGAUGCAGCAUAGAUAAUAAUAAAGUAUAAUAAAAAGUUGCAAGCUGGACUUAAAAAUGAAGAUCCACCUUCUUUUGGCCUCGCUGCAGAGCUACUAGGUUUAUCUUGAGUUUGUUCAUCAAGGGAAUCUGUCGUAAGCUUGUUAUCUGUGUCAUUCUUUUUAUCAGAGUUAUCCACGUCGUUUGAUUUCAAAUGAAGGUCCUGCUGCCUUCCAAUUGGCCUAACCUCAACGUUUCUGGCAAUAGGCCCACUGCUCUUGGAGUUCACAUCAGAGUAAUCUGCCAAUGAUUGCAUCUUGCUCAUGAGUUAUGCAUGCAUUAGCAAUCUGAACAUUAUGGUGAAAGACAUAAACUAUUAAAAUCUUAUGUAAUUAAGAGCUCAAGAAUACUGACAAGAAGACUUGUCCUGCUGAGGAAACCGACUUUUGGGUAUCCCAACUUGCAACUUCUCAAAUGGAGGGGGGCCGUUACCGUCACUUUCCUGUGAAACCCUUAAAGAUGAGCGGGAAAAGCCUGAAUAUUUUUUAUUCAUCUGCCAUUCUUCAUAAAGUGACUGAACAACGCCUCCUAACAAAGUCACAACUUUAGGAUUCAAACAUACUAUUCCAUUACGUAUAGUAGCUCUACCUUCCAAACGGACCUGCCAAUCAAAAGCAGGACAAACAAAAGAUGUUCAGUUAACAAGAGAUAUGACCUUCAUAUAUGCACCAGUUGUCCAUGAACUUGAGAAAUAGGGAAUAGAGAGACACUGAAAACUUGUUCCAAAAUUUGUAUCAAGGUUCACAUGACCAGUAAUAUACAAUAAACACAGCCUGUAGCGUGUAGGGAAAUCCCAAGCAUAGUGUGACAGAUUCUUCAAACUGGCAUCAUAUCUCAUGAAAAAGUACUUAUAUUCCGCACAAAAUGGUAAUCAACAGACUAACUGUCAAACUUAGAAAUUUCAUCCAUUGGAAUGUUGAGCUAAAAGUAGCAUAUGGGAUAACGAAUUGUUGAGCUCAAGUGAAAUAAUUUAAGUAUGUUUGUCUUACACUUGGAUUUAUCAAGCCCAAUAUAUAAUAAAUUAUUAGUUUUCCAAUGGGCUUCACAAUUGUGCAGCUCAAUAUCUAUUAGUUUGCUAUUAAACUGAAGACAAAUUCCAAAAUAUGUUCAAUCAAUGACAGCUCUAAGUUAUUUACACAGAUAUAAAACGCAAGCUGAGCAUUGAGCUAGCAUGAAGAACAGGGAAGUACCUUUGUACCAGGAACGACGUCGUCAGGGAUUGAUGGGAUAUGAAAGUACUCUACAGCUGCUACCUCGCUGUGGCCGUCUGUCAGGCCAAGCUUUAAAAGACGCCGACUGCUUGAAUUUCUCGCAAAAUCCACCACACUGCUUCUGGUAAUGUCUCUAACCCAAGCUAUCUGAUAAAAACACAAACGAAGACCGCAUUUUUCUUCGUCUUUAAGUUUUUUCUCGGCAACCAAACAGUGAACAAUAAAAAUUCACGAGAGAGUUAAGAGGUGUGAUUGCCUGGAGGACUUGAGGGCCGAGAAGAUGAGAUGAUUUGCGGAGAGUAUUCGGGUCGGGCAAGGACUUGGCGGAGAUGGAUUUGAGGUCCAUGUUGGUGAGCUCCGAUUCCACUGAAUUCACCACCGUACGCGUGUCGUCGGCCAAAGCGGAGUGGAUCAUGAUCAUCGCCUUCACUUGGUCCAGGUCGCCGAAGCACCAGCCCCUGCUCCUUAGGGUUUCGAUUGCAGCGUCUGAAGCACCGGAGCUCUCCUCCAUUUUUAGCGCCUGUUUGCGCGGCGUUUGAUUUUGGGGCUUUUCUUAGCUUUUGCAAUUGCAACAGAGAACGAACAAUGUAGGAUGUGGUCCCAUGUCGGCCAUGAAAUGUCGUCGUCUUGGCUUUAGUGAGAACGAAUGAGGGGCCAACGGGCCGAGGACCAAAAAGGGCCUACAUCACCCAACAGCAAGGGACAACGGGGCGAGGUGUAUAAGUUGGUGGGCCGUAGGCAGGGCUUGGGCCAUCCUGGUAUAGAAUGAUCAAGUCCGGCAGGGCACGUAGGUAGUUUAUUAAAUAAUUAAUAAAAUAAAAAAAAAUAGUGGGGCAUCAUGCCAUGUCUCAAUAAAAUAAGAACUUUAGGUGUCACCGGUUGUAAUUAGUUAGAGGGCAUAAUUCUCGGAUGACCCUCAUCGCAUCACACGUAAAAGAAAUAUUAUAUAAAUUAUGUUAGUUAGCAGUUUUGCGAAGUGUAUUUGUUACAUAAAUUAUUUAUAUAAUUUAUUAUUGGAUGAAUAAUGCAUCAUUGAGAGGCACUUGGUUUCGGUUGGAGAUGUGCAUGUGGAAAGUAGAAUGUGGUUGAUGUGUGUAAUAUAUAUAUAUAUAUAUAUAUAUAUAUGUAUUUGUUAUAUGUGGUUUCUAAUUCUAAUUACCAUGUAGUUUCGUGUAUCUUAAUAGUCGGUUACCAAUUUGUGAGCUACUCUCACCAACCAACCAGAAGACAAUGAGAGAAGGAAAAGGUCCUUGAGCCUUUGAUAUAAACUGCACAGCCAGCUGCAAGGAGAGGGGACGUAUAUAUCACGAUGCAUGAAUUGAUCAUGUUUUGUUGGGGAAAUGCUCGAUAUUAUGGUUAUAUCAGACAAUUUUUCUUUCAAGUUAUGAACAUAAACAAAAACCCCACCACAUAAAAGAUAUAGGUCACAUGGAUUUAUCAUUUUUUUUCUUCUAGAUCACAGAGCAGCGGCAGUGUGCUACUGGUGUUACUUUUUCAGUGCGGGGCCUCCUGCAUUUAGUUACCAUUAAUAUCCCCAACGCCAUAUGCCAAUUAGCCAACUAUAGGGGCAAAGGAAUAUGCAACUGGCAGGAAAUUUUUCCCUAAAUUAUCUUUAUUUAUUUAUUUCUGAGAUGGCCUUCUGUAUCGAUAUAAAUCUCUCGUCCAUAACGGAGGCAGAAUUUAAUCCUAGCUUUCUUGUAGAAACUAUGCCCCUGCGAAAUAUAAAUGUAGAAGUCAGCUUAAUUUAAGUUGCUCAUCAAUAACCAAAUUAUAAAAUAAAAUGCAGUUUCUUAAGUGUCUCAAUCGGUUGAGAAAUUAGGUUAACCGCUAAACUCAACUUAUUAUUAACGGCUUUAAAUAAACAGCAGAGAGAGACUCGGGCAGGGCUUCAAUUCGGUUGUAGGGCUAUCUGUACUUAUGUUCAAUUAUGUUGAUAAGACACCACCAGUAAUUCCAUAUUCUAGUUUCUUAGACUAAACACAUUUACAGGUUUAAUUUUUUUGACUAAACACAUAUCCUCUUUUAAAUAUGGUUAGAAGUUGACCAAUUUGGUAUUAGUUGGAUUGACUCAGGUAGGUUCUUUGUGUGCUCCCAAUAGUACUUGUGUGUGUGAGUUUUUCCCUCCACCUUUCUAACGUUGGCAACAAAAGUACAAGUUGGAAAUAAUAUUCUAGCUUGAAUUAGUAGCAGUUUGUUAAUCAAAUCAUGUCCUAUCACUACAAAAUAAAAAAAUGGCAACAGUCACCGUUAUUUAGUGACAUUUGCCAAAAGACUUUAGUCACCCCAACAAACGUCGUCAAAUAAUGAUAACUUGACUUUUUUUUAUUAUUUUUGGUAGUAUAUGGCAUGAAAGGUUCUUAUAUGGUAGUUGAGUGUGAUAAAUUAAAAUUUCGCAAAUUUUGAUUGAGUAGACAGGAGGACAUCAUAGAUUGUUAAAGAUGUUUGGUUGAUGAAAAUGACUGGGGUUUCAGAAUUUCAACAAAUCUCAUGUAUUAUACACAGGCCAAGACAAGAGGAUAGUUAACCAAAAAACUAUUCUCAUGCACAAGUCACUUCCAGUAUGUGUAAGUGUAACCAAGAACUUCCAUGAAAUGAAGUUCUCAUGCUAGCUGUAGACAAAGAAAUAUAUUUUUGCCGAUUUAAAACAAACAUUUUAUUUAAGAUCUCGUGUGUAUGUUGUAAGACUCAAUUGCAUCAAUCCCUAAUCAUUUGUGUAUGUGAAGAAUUUCUAACUAUUCAUAUAUUGUGAGUGCCUGUUUGGUAUUGCUUAUUUGCGGUGAUAAGUGAUUUUUUAAAAAUUUUGGGAAGCCCAGUCCGUUUGGUAAACUAUGAGAAAAUCACUUAUUGUUAAAAAUUGUUGUGAGAGAAAGCUAUAAGGGAAAUCAGCUAAUGAGUUGCUUUCAUUUUCUGAUUAUGCAGAAAUCAGUUUUGAAGAGGGGUUGAGUUUAAUGAUUAUGCGGCAAUCAUUUUCUAAUUAUGCGGGAAUCAGUACCAACAACACUUAUAACAAAAAGUUUACCAAACGCCAAACUGCUUUAUCUCACAGCUGAUUUCUCUCAUAGCAAAUCUAACAGCGAUUACUUUCACAGCACAGCAAUGCCAAAUUGGCCCUCAGAACUCAAUUAUAUUUAUUGUUAAUCGUAUGUGUCUGUAAAUGAGUUCUAACUAUUCAAACAUUAGGAGACCCAGUUGCAUCAAUAGUUAGAAAUUGCAGGCAGCUGAUAGCUGAUACUAAAAACACAUGAGUAUUGUGAGUAAUGAUGGCAAUGGAGAAACCCUCCAGAAAAGGCAAAUAGCUCUUGGCCUUCACCUUUGGAAGAAGGGGAGUUACUCUGCUUCGGUUUAAGAAGUAAAACGUCAACCUUUUUGCCUCUUAACUUUGACUUUUUCCAAAAACGGCCCCACUGUACCAACACCUCACCCGCCGUUUUAUUUUACUCCAAAUCACCCAACACGGCAGUAAAAAAUGCAAAACCCAUCUUCCCAGCCGUUUCAUUCAAAUUCCCACGUAAAAUCCCACCAACCCACGCGCCAAACCUGCAACCUCAACGGUCCUUCUCCUUGGUGUAAUACCAGCCGUUUGAUGAAGUCGGACGAUUCGAUUUCAGAGCGAAUAGAGUUUAUUCAAAUAGACGAGCGAGUUCGCGUUUGAAAGAAGCCUCGUGCUUUAUGUCUUCCCGCGGCCAUUAAAUGAGCCUCUGUUUCUGUCUCUCCCGUUCCUGCACACAAACUGUGAAUCACUUUAACGUGCACAAUGUAUUCUCCAGUGAGAAAGAGGAGAGAGAGAGAGUUCAACAAACACGAAGACUCUCUACGGAGAGCUAUUAAAUGCAGAGCUCAACCACCAUUUUCAGCAUUCAAAUUUGUCUACCUCACAUUCAAACCCUACUUUUAUUAGUCUCUCUCUCAGUCUUAGCCACAAGACUCUGAGAGGGAGAGCUUUUUAUUUAGUAACGGUUUCAGGACUCUGCGCAGACAUAGAUAGGGUUGGGAUUUCCGAUGUGGAACUCGGCGGAGAACGUGUUCGCGCGAGCUUCGUCGUUUAGGGAGGAAGGGGAGGAUGAGGAUGCACUCCGGUGGGCAGCGCUCGAGAGGCUCCCCACCUAUGCCCGCGUCCGACGUGGCAUUUUCAGGGACGUAGCCGGAGACACUAAGGAGAUCGACGUCAGCGAGCUCGAGGCUCAGGAGCAGAAGCUCUUGCUCGACCGCCUUGUGAGCUCCGCCGACGACGAUCCCGAGCGGUUCUUUAAUCGCAUGCGACGCAGAUUCGACGCGUAAUCGUCUUCAAUUUCUUGGACAAAAACUUCGAAUGACUCUGCUUGGCUGCCGAGAAAAUAUCAGCAAAGAAAGCAAAUUUAGUAUCUCAUAAAUUGAUUUUACUAUACAGUGCCAAAUGAGAGUGUUGAAGUCUCUGUUUUCUCUGUUUCUCAGCAGCCAAACGGAUUUUCUUUUUGUCAUUCUUAAUUUCGUUACUUUGUUUUUGGCUUGCUAUUUACUCUAAAUAUUUCUGUCAAAAUUUGGCUGUGCAGAGUCGAUCUGGAGCUUCCGAAGAUCGAGGUUCGAUUUCAGAACUUGAAAGUCGAAGCUUUCGUCCACGUGGGAAGCAGAGCACUGCCAACUAUUCCCAAUUUCGUUUUCAAUAUGACGGAGGUAGAGUUUCUUCAUUCAAAUUAUCAGUUAAUUUCCUUGAAUGCAACUUGUUCGAUUACAUGAUUGAGCGCUUGUUAAAAAAGAAAAUAACCUUUGCAUUAUCUGGAUGCCAUUUUAGGCCCUUUUUAGGCAAUUACGGAUAUACAGGCCCCAGAGAAGCAAAUUAACGAUUUUAGACAACAUUAACGGGAUUAUAAGACCUUCAAGGUAGGUAUUUUAGCAUCAGCUAGUUCUCAAUUGCUGAGUUUUCAGCCCAGUGUUUACGUCUAACAAGCUGUGUUGGUGUUGUUUUGUAGAUUGACGUUACUAUUGGGUCCACCAAGCUCCGGAAAGACGACGCUACUAUUGGCUCUUGCUGGACGACUUGGAACUGGUUUGCAGGUAUCCAAUUGAACGACAGAGAUCCUGCUAAUCGGUAUCUGGUUUCGACAUUUGCUUUAACUCAUUGUACUUUGAUCACUCUGAAGAUAUCAGGGAGCGUCACAUAUAACGGCCAUGUCUUAAAGGAGUUUGUCCCUCAGCGGACGUCUGCUUAUGUCAGUCAACAGGAUUGGCAUGCGGCAGAGAUGACUGUAAGGGAAACUCUUGAGUUUGCGGGGCGCUGCCAAGGUGUUGGGACUAAAUAUGGUAAGCUUUGGGAAAUUAGGUACUUGUGUACUAGUGGUGCUUGUUUAGAUGCUGACAUGAAAACUUUGUCACAGAUAUGCUAUUAGAACUUGCAAGAAGAGAAAAGAUAUCCGGGAUAAAACCCGAUGGAGAUCUUGAUAUAUUCAUGAAGGUACGAGUACUUAUUCAAUAUGUUGAUUCCUUUAUACAUGUAAUGAUUGCUGAUACUUUGUUUUCCAGUCGUUAGCUCUUGGGGGGCAGGAGACAAGCCUUGUGGUGGAGUACAUCAUGAAGGUAUUUGUUCGAUGCUGGUUAUUAUUGGAUGCAUAUCCAUUAACAUGUUCAUUUUGAGUAUUUGACUGGUUGAUGUAUCUUGAUUUAUUAUUAAUAUCUUGAAGAUAUAUCUUGAUUUAUUAUUAGAUUUAUUUUAGGUACUAAAAUAUGUUUGACAAAGAUUUUAGGGUUGGACAUAUGUGCUGAUACAUUGGUAGGAGAUGAAAUGCUUAAGGGAAUCUCAGGGGGGCAAAAGAAGCGGCUCACUACAGGUGUAUACUUCUUUUGUUUUUUAAAUUUGUUUUAGGUUGAAGGGGGAUUCUUGUGCACUAGUAGGGUAAAGCUGUUUGCUAAUAAAUCAACUGUGAUUUCCAGGUGAAUUGCUAGUAGGUCCAGCAAGAGUUCUGUUCAUGGAUGAAAUAUCAACUGGGCUUGACAGUUCAACUACUUAUCAAAUCAUCAAAUAUCUUAAGCAUUCAACUCAUGCACUUGAUGCAACCACUGUUAUAUCUCUGCUUCAACCUGCUCCAGAGACCUAUGAGUUGUUUGAUGAUGUUAUACUUUUGUGUGAGGGCCAGAUUGUUUUUCAAGGACCCCGUGAAGCUGCUCUUGACUUCUUUGCAUACAUGGGAUUUAGGUGUCCACGGAGAAAGAAUGUUGCAGACUUCUUGCAAGAAGUAAGUAAUGGAGAGCUUGAGUUGUGAGUUGCUAUUCUGUUGCAUGGAAUGUUUGGUAAUUUUUUUUCCCUCGUACACAGGUUAUAUCAAAGAAAGACCAAGAGCAGUACUGGUCCAAUCCUGAUCUCCCGUACCUCUAUGUUCCACCGGCAAAGUUUGUUGAUGCUUUUCGUUUAUUUCAAGCUGGGAAGAAUUUGUCUGAAGAACUAGAUGUUCCUUUUGAUAAACGCUACAACCAUCCUGCAGCUUUAGCAACUUCUCGCUUUGGCAUGAAGCGGCGUGAGCUUCUCAAAACAAGCUUUAACUGGCAAGUGCUACUGAUGAAGCGGAAUGCAUUUAUCUAUGUUUUCAAGUUCGUUCAGGUAAUAGUACCAUUAUUUGUUUAUCCAAAGGACAUGUUUUCGAUGGUAUUUGCUAGUAAAUGUUACCUUCCGUGCUAGCUUGUAGAACACCUUAAUUAAUAUCUUUUUUGUUUGUUUCUUUUUUCCAAUCAUCUGAAAGAUGAAACUGGUGAAUGUUAUCUGCUGCUGAUUAAGUACUAUGUUCUGUCUUGCAGCUUCUUUUUGUUGCUUUGGUUACAAUGAGUGUUUUUUUCCGGACGACAAUGCGCCACAAUACAAUUGAUGACGGAGGCUUAUAUCUUGGGUCACUAUACUUUUCCACGGUUAUUAUUCUUUUUAAUGGCUUCAUGGAGGUUCCAAUGUUGGUGGCGAAGCUUCCGGUGCUUUACAAGCAUAGGGACUUGCACUUCUAUCCGAGCUGGGUCUAUACGAUUCCAUCUUGGGUCUUGAGUAUUCCAAUUUCACUCAUAGAGUCUGGUUUCUGGGUGGCAAUCACAUACUAUGUCAUUGGAUAUGACCCUGCAUUUACUAGGUAAAUCAUAUUUUUUUUUGGAAUUCUGCAUAAAUCGUGAAAGUUGGCAAAGGAUGAAGUUCUUACGUUAAUUGUUGAAUCUGCAGAUUUUUGGGGCAGUUCUUGAUAUAUUUCCUUCUGCACCAGAUGUCCAUAGCUCUCUUCCGUAUUAUGGGAUCCUUAGGUCGAAAUAUGAUAGUUGCCAACACAUUUGGAUCUUUUGCUAUGUUGGUUGUAAUGGCUCUUGGAGGAUACAUCAUCUCGAGAGGUCAACCUAACAUUUUGUCAAUGUCUACAUGUUUCCAACUUGAUUGCAUACUUUUAUUGAUUUCCCUAUUCAAAUGUGACAGAUCGUAUACCGAAGUGGUGGAUUUGGGGUUUCUGGUUUUCUCCCUUGAUGUAUACUCAAAAUGCAGCUUCUGUAAAUGAAUUUCUUGGACAUUCCUGGGACAAGGUAACAUUCCAAUUCAUUACCUGUUCAAGUUUGCUUUACUGAUUAUAGCAAUUAUGGAUUUAUUAUGCUAGUCAAGGUAAGGGUAUGGUAGUUUUUACUAACUAGAAAUAACCAUAAAUUACGUUUAAGAAUUCUAAUGCCUUGAUAAUAAUAGUGGAUAUGUUAUCUUUGAUAAUAGACUUGGAUUUUAUUUCCUUUUUUGUGAAUUUUCAAGUAAACCAUUGGCAUCCUCCAAGAGGACAUUAUGUUUGAUGGGAAAAUAGUGUUAAACAUUAUUUUGCUAAAUCACAUUAAUUUGUAAUUGCACACUGUGUAGGCAAGAGCCAAUAAGAAGAUUUACUUCACCAGACCUAUUUAUUCAGUUAUUGUCUAGGAUUCUACUCUGAAACUUCUAAUUCUGUUUUUCCCUGUUAUUUAUGUAGAGAAUUGGAAGCCACACCAGCUUUCCAUUAGGUGAGGCAUUGCUGAGAGCACGCAGCUUGUUUCCCGAGAGCUACUGGUAUUGGAUUGGUGCUGGUGCUUUGCUUGGAUAUACAGUUUUGUUCAACAUUCUAUUCACAUUCUUCCUCGCUUACCUUAACCGUAAGUCAUUUCUGCUCAUAAAAACAAACUAAUUUUCAUUUUCCUUCUAUUGCUGCAUGUAGCCAAACAAAUUUAAAAAAAGAAAGCUUAUUGAGUUGAUUUUGGAUAUAUGCAUCAGCGUUGGGGAAGCAACAAGCUGUAGUCUCUAAGGAAGAGCUUCAAGAGAGAGAAAGGAGAAGAAAAGGACAAAAUGUUGUUAUUGAGCUGAGACAGUACUUGCAGCAUUCAGAGUCAUUAAAUGGUUUGAAAAAUAAUUUGGAUAUUGAGUUUGUUUUAGUACAAUUCUUUUUAAUUAAUUACAGACCUGUUUAAGUUCCAAAAUUCUUUCUUAUCUUCUACGCAGGAAAAUAUUUUAAGCAGAGAGGAAUGGUCCUCCCAUUUCAACCACUUUCCAUGUCUUUCAGCAAUAUCAACUACUACGUGGAUGUCCCUCUGGUGAGUCUUUAACACUAUUCACUUGCACCAUCCAUUCUGGGAAACAUGUUAACUAUAUAUUUUUUCUGAUCCAAGUACCACCUCAGGAAUUGAAGCAGCAGGGCAUUCAAGAAGAAAGAUUGCAGUUGUUGGUUAAUGUCACUGGAGCAUUUAGGCCUGGGGUGCUUACAGCAUUGGUUGGAGUAAGCGGUGCGGGGAAAACUACCCUCAUGGAUGUAUUAGCUGGUCGAAAAACUGGUGGCUUCAUAGAAGGGAGCAUUCAUAUAUCUGGUUAUCCAAAAAGACAAGAAACUUUUGCAAGAAUUUCUGGUUACUGUGAGCAGACUGAUAUUCAUUCCCCCUGUUUGACUGUUCUGGAAUCACUUCUCUUCUCUGUUUGGCUUCGGUUACCAUCAGAUGUUGAUUUGGGGACACAGAGGGUAUUCACAUAAAAUUAUUUAAUGUUUUUGUACGUCUUCAUCAUUAAAAAAAAAUCUAUCAUCUAAAAGAUUUAAAAAUCAUUCAGGCUUUUGUAGAGGAGGUGAUGGAACUUGUGGAGCUCACUCCAUUAAGUGGAGCAUUGGUUGGUCUACCGGGGGUAGAUGGUUUGUCAACAGAACAACGAAAAAGGCUAACAAUAGCUGUCGAGCUGGUUGCCAACCCAUCUAUAGUAUUCAUGGAUGAGCCCACAUCAGGGUUGGAUGCACGGUCUGCGGCUAUUGUGAUGAGGACCGUGAGGAAUAUUGUCAAUACUGGACGUACUAUAGUGUGCACAAUCCACCAGCCUAGCAUAGACAUCUUUGAAUCCUUUGAUGAGGUUCUCUCUCUCUCUCUCUCUCUCUCUAUAUAUAUAUAUAUAUAUAAUACAUAAUGAUAUAAUGUACCCUAUAUAUAUGUAUAUCCACCUAAACUAUCUUCCUACGUAUAUAUAACCAAUUUUCUAACAAGGUAUGCACAUGAAGACGUGUUUUUUUCUUCCAAUUUUUAGAUAUGAUAAGAAUGGGUGAGAUGGAGAUGCAAAGACAUGCAUCUUGAUUGAUCCUACUAUGACCAGAGUGUAAAACAGCUCAGUCAUAUUUGCCCGAGCAUUUCUAUAUUGCUUUAUUAUCUUGAUUGAUCCUGCUAUAAUCUCAUAUGUGUUGCAGCUUCUAUUUUUGAAGCGUGGAGGAGAGCUCAUAUAUGCUGGUCCACUUGGUCUUAAUUCUUGUGAACUCAUCAAGUACUUUGAGGUCAGAUCAUGCAUGCCAUGCCAGUAUAUAUUUCAGAACAUGUGACUUUGGGUAAUGUUCAUGACUGUCAGCUUAACAUGUGAAUAUUUCUUUCUGCAGGCAGUCGAAGGAGUGCCAAAGAUCAGGCCUGGAUAUAAUCCUGCUGCAUGGAUGCUUGACGUUACUUCUUCAGUUGAAGAAAGUCGCCGGGGGGUGGAUUUUGCAGAAGUUUACCGAAGAUCUAACUUGUUUCAGUAUGAAAACUUAAUGAAUUCUGACUGUGCUGCUUUUAUACAGAACUAUAUGCUUCUUGAUCUAACAACCAUCUUCCUUUGUCUCAGGCACAACAAAGAGUUGGUUGAAAGCCUGAGCAAGCCAAGUACCAAUUCUAAAGAACUAAAUUUUCCAACCAAGUACUCUCAGACAUUUUUCGAACAAUUUCUCACUUGUCUUUGGAAGCAAAAUCUGUCUUAUUGGCGAAAUCCUCAGUACACUGCAGUUCGCUUCUUUUACACUGUCAUCAUCUCAUUGAUGCUAGGAACAAUUUGUUGGAGAUUUGGUGCUAAGAGGUUUUCUCCUUUUUCUUAAUCUUGUAAUUUAUGAUAACUCUAUAAGGGAACUAAUCAUCUUGAUGUAUUAUCUUCUUUCAGCCCUUAUUUCUAGAUGUCAAUAUGUGCCAUUGGGUUUCUAUAUGACAGGAUUUCUUUUCCCUUUGCAGGGGAACCCAGCAGGAUUUACUAAAUGCUAUGGGAUCCAUGUAUGCAGCAAUCCUAUUUAGUGGAAUCACCAAUGGCACUGCUGUUCAACCUGUUGUUUCUAUAGAACGAUUUGUCUCAUAUCGAGAGAGAGCUGCUGGGAUGUACUCAGCUUUACCAUUUGCAUUUGCUCAGGUUCGGCUUUACUACGCUACGCCCACUCUUUGAAACUCAUAAUAUUACCCUGGUAUCCCUUAAAUUUAUCUAACGCAUUGAUCAUGUAUGCAGGUCGUGAUAGAGCUCCCUUAUGUGUUUGCACAAGCAAUUAUAUACUGUGCAAUUUUCUACUCUACGGCUUCAUUUGAGUGGACUACUUUGAAGUUCGCUUGGUAUAUAUUCUUUAUGUAUUUCACAAUGCUAUACUUCACCUUGUACGGCAUGAUGACGACAGCUGUCACACCAAAUCAUAAUGUGGCCUCUAUAAUUGCUGCUCCAUUUUAUAUGCUAUGGAACUUGUUCAGCGGCUUUAUGAUUCCUCACAAGGUAAUGGAAGUGGCUGCUUUCAUUGCUCAAUCUCAUGUGUACUUUAUCAGAUAACAUAUUCUUAUAAUAACUUGUUAAGAAUACUCUCUAACACAAUAACUUGUUGCACUUGUUCAGAGAAUUCCAAUAUGGUGGAGAUGGUAUUACUGGGCAAAUCCUGUGGCCUGGAGUCUGUAUGGCCUCUUUGUUUCGCAAUACGGCGACGAUGAUAGUCUUUUGAAGCUGGCAGAUGGAACUCAUACAAUGCAAGUAAGGCAGUUUCUCAAAGAAGGGUUUGGGUACAGGCGUGAUUUUCUGAGUGUAGCCGGCAUUAUGGUGGUCGGUUUCUGCGUGUUUUUUUCCAUUAUCUUUGCCUUUGCAAUAAAAUCCUUCAACUUCCAGAGGAGAUAACAAGGCAGAUUUCUAUACCCUAUUGCUUUAGUUAUGGGAUCAUUGCAUGGUGUGACAAGUAUAUCAGCAUCUCAAUUCAUGAAGAAACAAAUAAGUAUAUCAGCAUCUCAAUUCAUGAAGAAACAAUGUUAAAGUGUAUAGCUACAUGAUUAUAUAGAUAUAUAAUAUAGGAUCAAAUUAUUUGUUUGUUUUAGAUCGAGUGCAGAUAACAGCUAGUUGCUAGCUGGGCUUUUUAUUUUUAUUUUUAUGUGUAAACAAAUUACAUGCUUUCAGUAUUUAUUUAUUUAUUUAUUUUGGGUUUAACUUUACAAAACUCAAACAUGUUGUAAAGUACUUGGUGAAUAAAUUAUAGGGCAGUGCAGCCAUUGUGUCCUUUUUGUUUUGGUUCUAAGAUUUUGAUUUCUGUAAUGUCUCUAUGGAGUUAGAAGACAGAGAGGUCCUAGUGCUGUAAAUUCCAAACUAAAUGGGUCCUCCACUACAAAAGGACCAAAUUGGCAAUUUGCCAAUACUUUCGAAUUAGAAUUAGACAACAGACUUGGGGCCAAUUCGUGAAUCUGUACAAAAUAGAUCAUGUCGUUUUUACCCAACCAGAUUACGUUUUUAUUUACGUGUAGUUUCCAUGAAAAAUAUUGACACGUGUUUGAAAGCUAACGGCGCUUUGCCCCAAACCUUGCGAGCCUUUCUUCUUCCCCCUCUUUCGAUUGCCAUGAACCCCUCCACGAGCAAAGAGCUGGAGCAUUCAAACCCGAGAAUCCAAAUCAUUUGAAAGUACAAGAUCUUCGUGGGCCAGUGGCCUCAUUUGUUUGAUCCGAUCCAAUCCAAUUCAAUAUAGUUUUUAACAGCACAACGCAAGGCAUGGCUCCUGGGCCUUUGAUUUCUCUAUAUACACAAGGCAUGCCUCAUAAGUACAACUUACUCUUUUGGUACAUUUUCUCUAAGAGAGAGAUAAGAAGAAGAAGAAAAAAAGAGAAACCCAGAAAGGAAAAAAGGAAGAAUGGGGACUGAACUGAUAAAAUGAAGUGCUAGGUUUCAAAGUUUCCCAAACGCCCGCCCCAUUCAAUUCUGAAACCGACUUUCACAUAAUGACAGAUAUCAUGCAUACAUAGGGUCAAGAAAUGCCAUAGAAAAGUAGAUUGUAGCUGCAGUUGCAACACUUGCCCUACAUGCAUCUACAUGUAACUUACAUGCCACACCCAUUAUCUCAACGCAGUUCAAAAGGGUUCUCAUUCUCAACAAGAAACCCACAAAAUAAUUACCAUGAACAUCCACCUCUCUUCCCACCACCACCUCAUCCCUCUCGACUUCAAAUCCCUCGUCACCUUACCCAACUCCCACACUUGGGCUCCAUCCUCCUCCGAUCACCACCCGUUCCCCGAAUCCGUACCGGUCAUCGACCUAUCCGACCCGAAUGCCACCCCUCUGGUCCGCCUUGCCUGUGAGAAAUGGGGUGUGUUCCAAGUCACCAACCAUGGCGUUCCCAUGAACCUCAUCAAACAAACUCAGCUCCAAACCCAUCGACUCUUCGCCCUCCCCAGAGACCAAAAACUCCGGGUCCUCCGCUCGCCCGAUGGCUUCACCGGGUACGGGUCGGCCCGCAUUUCUGACAACUUCCCCAAGCUGAUGUGGUCGGAGGGUUUCUCGAUGAUGGGGUCUCCGCUGGAACAUGCCCGCCAGCUUUGGCCACUUCACCACGCCAACUUCUGGUACGUGCCAGAGACAAAUAAAUAAAUAAAAUAAUGCAUCUCCAGUGUGUAUCAUCUCUUUAUUUUCAUGCCACACUUCUCUAAUUGAGUAAAAUCUACUAAUACAAUAAAUAUAAAAAUACCUAACAAUUUCCUUUGCUAAAUGUCUUCAAGGAUAUAUUAGUAAUUAGAUCAUGUUCGUUAUGAUCGAUGAAUGAAAGGCCAGGCUUAGGGACGUCACGUGGCGGGAUAUGGGUGAUCUAGAAACUUGGCUUCCAAUACGCUAGUUUUGUACUGGUUCAUGAUCCAUAUAAAUAGGCUUUGCCCUUCACUUCACGUAGGCCUUUUUCGCUCAUGAAUCACCAUCCAACCCAUACACUAGAAUCUAGAUUUUGACCCAAUAAAAAUAAAUAUAUUUUUAUAUUUACAUGUUUGGGUUUGUGCUUAAACAUUUUUUUCUUUUUCUAUUUUCCUUUUUUUUUUCACUUCCUUAGAAAGUUAUGUUUGCUUUGGAUACGCAUGACAAAUAAAUAUGGUCGUUGUUUUUGAUGAUUUGAAUUGAAGACCGAAGUCGACAUCAAAGUGAAUUUAAAAAUUGAGUUCAAUUAAAUUCAACAUAAAAAGACAUAGAACCCACUAGAGUCAUUAAACUCACGAAAGACAUAAAGUUCACAAAACACAACAGAGACUUGAAAAACCCUAAGAUAAAGAACAGGGAAAUGCUACACCACUCAAAACCCACGAGCGACGCCAUCAAUGCAAGACCACAACCCCCGAAGAGAAAACGAUAACCAAAGCUACAAAUAGAAAAUGGUGGUAAAUAUGAUUGUUGUCUGAAUCUUAAUCCUAUAUUUGUCCGUAUAUAUUUGUCGGAAUCUCAAUGUACUUAAUGUACUUAAUUAAUGGUUCAGAUUGAAAACAACGUAUUUGUCGGUAUAUCUGUGUCCUACUUAUUAAACCAAAUCCAUAUCCUGAUCUUACUGGUGAUGCAGUAAUGUAAUGGAAGAGUACCAAAUGGAGAUGAAGGGACUUGCUGCAAAACUGAUAGAGCUCAUGCUUCGAUCAUUGGGCUUGAACAAUGAAGAUGUCAAAUGGCUCAGACAUCCUCGGUCCUUGCUUCAACUCAACUCAUACCCCGUCUGCCCAGACCCGACCCGGGCCAUGGGCCUAGCCCCUCACACAGACUCCUCAUUGCUCACUUUGCUAUACCAGACCACUACAGGCGGCCUGCAAGUCCUUGUGGACGGGGUUUCGUGGGCGCCGGUGUACCCAACUGCCGGUGCGCUGGUUGUCAACGUCGGGGAUUUAAUGCACAUACUAUCCAACGGAUGUUUCAAGAGUGUAGUCCAUCGUGCCAUUGUCAACAAAGUGCACCAUCGCAUCUCCAUCGCAUACUUCUACGGCCCACCAUGGGAUGUGAAGAUAUCGCCGUUGAUGAAAUUGAUCGAUCACAAUCAUCCACCUCUCUAUCAGCCGGUAACUUGGAAGGAGUACCUUGGUUACAAGGCAACGCACUUCAACAAGGCGCUUGAACUCAUCCGGAAUGAUGGAGGAGAAAUACAAGCCAACUAGCUAGCAUUCAUCUUUGAUUUCAACUCAUCUUUGGUUUGGCUGAUUGUACAUGUAAUUUGUAAAAUGAAAUGGUUGAUUAGGUAAAAUAAAACAUUCGGCUAUCUUUAAGACUGCCUUCAUAUACGUUUCGUCUAGCAAAAUAUCAUUUACAUUAUAAGCCCCUGUGAGUUGAAAGAGAUCCUUUUGAUCAAGUUUGACAUCGUUAGGCUGGUUGGCCUUGGUCUUGGUCCAACAAAAUUCUUCUAUGGGUUAACUGGGGCUGGGUUAAAAUCUAAAACCCUUUUACCAUACGCUAAAAAGAUAACCAGAUAAAGAACAAACAAAAGCAUCAAAUUGCUGUCUCCUUUGGGAUGUGGUAAUGGAGAAGGUAAACCAUUUUCAAGAUAAAACGAUACAACUUUGUCACUUCCAGAGCUUGACGAACUUGUCGUGGCUAGCGGAAGCAACCAACCCGGUAGCAUCUGAUACCGCCAAAGAAGAUACUAGCUUGUCAUGAGCAUGCAGAGUCAUUGUCUUGUUCUCGGUCAUGUUCCAAAGCUCCAAAGUCUGAAAUCCCACCAUUGCAUAUCAAAAACAAAACCUCACUAAGCAUCUUCAACAAGAGCAAGUCACCGGGUAACAAGUUCAUCUUUAAUGUAAAGAGAAGUAGAGCAGUAUAGCUUACCUCAUAGCAGCCAAUGACCAACAAUGAAGGACAAGUUGGAUGGAAAACACAUGUAUUAAAUUUGUUGCCAGAACAGCUCAACUCAUGAAUGCAUUCCCCUCUGGCGCUGGAGACAACUGACCACACUCUAACCAAGUCAUCACUCACUGAUGCUAGAAAGUCACCAGAAGGAUCCCAGCACACAGAAUGGACAAGGUUCUUAUGGCCCUACAAUUAAUAGCACAAGAUAUAAAUCAGAAAGCAUUCAUGAUGAACAACAGCACAUGAAUCGCAUCAAAGUAAACAUGUAUUAGUGGGUUCUUACUGAUAACCACUUCAUUCAAGCCCAAAUGUGGACACAACUAGUAAGUGCCCAUUCCAAAAAUAAAGUUAAAAAAAUUAGUACUACAAAUGUUAAGAAGUAAUGGGAAGUUCAGAAGAAACCUGUAAUUUACGCACGCAAGCUUGCGUCUCGACAUCAAGGAUGGAUACAAAAUUAUCAGCUGCAGCUGCAAGGUUUCUUCCAGCUUUGGGUUGAAACCUCAUCUGAGUUGCACCACCCUGAAAAAUAUAGGUAAUAUUAUCAAAUGCCAAAGGAUUUACUAAACAGAGAAACAGAAUUCUAGUAUUCCCUAUAUAGUAUAGACAAAUUAACCUUGAAACAAAUUAACCUUGAAAGGAUUUACUAAACAGAGAAACAAGAUUUACCUUGAAAACUCCAGCACAACUACCAUUCUUGAUACUCCAGUAUCGUAUCUCACUGUUGUUAUCACAAGAGCAGAGAAGGUCCUCUUUACUAGGGUGGAAGUCCACUGACAUAACAGUUGUAGAAUGCCCCACAAAAGUACGGAGUGAAUAUCCAGGCUGCACAACAUUUUUUUAUGGAUUCAUUACAUAGAUGAAAUAAGAAUCGAGGGUUCAGUAAUUUAGUGAUGACAGUUCAGUAGUAAUGUAUAAAUUUGAAGAUUAAAAAUGAAAAGUCAGUCAAAAAUAACAUGAUGUAGCAUUGAGGGAAAAACAAAAAACACAUUGACUAACAUUAUCAGCAUCCCAAACCCUGACAGUUUUGUCAGCAGAAGAUGUAGCAAGCCUUGACAUGCUAGGACUAAAACGAACAUCGGUUAUCCAUUGAGAAUGCUCUUCAAGUGUAGACUUUACAGUAUAGGACUCAGUACACCACAAUACAGCCUGCACCAUAAAAUAAUCAAGUAAUCAUGACUACUUUGUGUUUCUAUAAGCCAUAAGAUUAACUGAAACAGUAUCAAAACGUCCAUCAUUCAUAUUCGCAGCACUUUUCCUUUUUUUAAAACUAGAUAGUAAGAUAAGUUUGGUCAUGCACAGAGCCCAUAUGAAAAAUUCAAUCUUCCUAGGCCUACCUUUCGGUCAUGCCCACCAGUGGCAAGUGAUUUUCCAUCUGAAGAGAAGUGACAGCAUUCAACUUUACUUGUACUUGCAGGAAUAAGAUGGACUUCCGUAAAAGUGAAACCUAAUUUCAUCAAGAAAAUGUUAAAGCCUUUUGCUAUAUUUCUAGUAUAAUAUAAGACCAAGCCAUAUACAUCUCGUGACAUAAAUAACAAAGUUUAUCAAUGUCAGAUAUUUGCAUUCUUCGUACCUUUGCUGACAUCUGAACAGCGAGCAACUCUACCUCUAGGGUCAGCAUCAUCAUGUGAUAAGAACGAUUCAACAUUAUCCUCUAAAGAUCCAUCAUCCACAAAACGGUCCACAUCAGUCUGCAAUACAUAGCUUAGUUACUGACUGCCAAUGGAGUUCUAGGAACAAUCACUCACAAGUAAACACUUUGUGCUUUAUCACAAAGAGCACACUAACCUUAAUAUGAAAAUCACAUAUGAGGCAAGCCUAAGCCUAAAAGCAUAAUCGACCCACUAGGGCAUAGCAACAGGGAGAAAAGUGGAAAUUUGGUUUAACAUUUCUCCAUCCAAUGAAUUAUCCACAUUUGGUAACUCAAGCACACUCUAGUCCGUACCAUUUAAGUUACUAAGAGGAGCAGGGACAUAGUAAGAAAAUAAUGAAACAUUGCACCUUUCUACCCCCUUGAGGUAAACUCUGUUCUUUUCCUUCUCAGCAAUGGCACAUUUUUUAUGGAUGGAAAAGUUAGAUAGGAAAUCAAUUGAACCCACUGGAGCAAAUGCGAAUCAAGUUUGAAGCACUCAUCAGUGAAAUGUUACAGAUUGUGACUCCAAAUCAAGUCACCUUAAAUGCAAUCAAUACAAAGAAGUUAGACAUAACAAUGAUAAGUUUCUAACCAAUUUAUUUUGCGCUGAUGCAAGUGAGCCCAAACCAUCAGAGCCAAACAUAAGUAGAGACUUUGAGGAACCACCAUUAUGGGAUAAAGUUGGCAUAGACAUUACAUCUCCUGGUGUGUGGGUAGAAGGCGUUGAAGGUGAACUGGGAGAUGGUCCUGUGGUAUUAACAGUCCCUGAGCUAUUGGCAGGACCUGAAGAUGACACUGGCUGCUUUCUCUUUCGCCCAAUUUGAUUCUUUGAAGCCUUAAACCAGGAAAACAAAAUGAGAAAAGCAACCCGGAUAUAACAAUUUUCAACACUGAUGAAGUUCACAGCGAAAAUAAAGACUAAAGACAAUUGACUCUGAAAAUAUGAUUAAAUUCAAGUUUUAAUAUUAUAAUAAAAGUUAUAUAGGUGAAAAGGUAACGAAUGUAAAAUAUCAAAUGUGAAAAAAGCAUAUGUCAUGUAUCAAUAGUUUAGGAUUUGUGAAAAUUAGGAUAUGCAAAAAUCUCCAGGACAUGUGGAUAUAUUUGUAAAACACUUUGCUGCAAGAUCAAGUUGGAAAAAAGAAGAAAGAGAUAAUAAAAAGAACAUAUAGCUUCAUAAAGUUUGAAUCCGAUAGCCAGUAAUAGAAAACCUGAUCAUUCCCUUGUAAGGUGUUAGCCAUGCUGCCAUCUGCCACAAUGCCACCAGAACCAAUAAUUUUUUCUUGCUGCUGUAGGUGUUGGCUUGAACUCUGAGAUUGUUGACUUGAAAGCGGAUGCUGCGAAUACUGUUGCUGCUGUUGAUUGUUGCUUUGCAUCUGCUGUUGCUGUAACUGAUAAGUUGGCUACUCAUAUAAGCAAAUAUAUAUGGGAAGCUUAAAGUUCACAAGAUCCUAAUGAUACUAGCUAAAACAAUGAGUUUUCUUAAAUCCAGAUGUAGAAGAAGAAAUGAUACCUUCAUAAUCAUAUCGGCAUCCGCACGAGGUAAUACCGGGCAACCAACUUGUACUGGUGAUCCAACGUUAGAUACGUCAACAGAAUUUAGUUGACCAUCCUUCCCGAGACCCGUAUUUUGAUUGUUGAGAAGCAUUCUCAGCCUUCUACUGUCCAAGUCAUUGGCAGAUGGGGAAGCCAGAUUUUGUUGUGCAAGCAUAAGUUGCUGCUGUAGCUGAAGUUGAUUGAAGGGUUGAGGGGACUGCAUCAUAGACGUUUGCUGCUGAAGAAUCCCAGAUCGAAACCGAUCAAAUCCCUAAAAAGGUGAGAUGUUAUCAGAAAAGAAACUAUAAACUCAAAAAUGCAGAUGCUAACAAGCCAGUUUCGUCUUUGGCAGCAUGGGUAGUUGGCAAAAAUGCUCUUCGUUUAUUUGCUUACAUUUAAAAUCAUGUUGUCUUCUUAUCAGUAAUGCCAAUGGAAUGUGGCAUCAAAUAUUGCUGAGCACACUUUAUACAACCAACUUGAACAAGUUUCCAUUUCAAGAUAUUACCCUCAUCUUUUUAAGGUGUUAUUUCAGUUUUCCUUCAACAACAAGAUGUCAAUAUAAAACCAGACUUCACUAAUAAUAGGUCAUAAAAUCUUGCACAAAACAGAAAACAUGUUUCUCAAGUGGUGUUACAUAUUUUUAGUAAAAACAAAAAAUGAGAGAGAGAGAGAGAGAGAGAGUGAUAUUAAUAUGUAUAUCUAAAAGAAGAAGAUUAAUUGUUAAUCAUCCUUAACCUUUAGGUGUAUGGUAUUCUUAAUUCAAUGCCUUAAGAAUAUAGCAUUUCCUCUAAAAAUUUCACCCAUCAAGUACUCCAUUUUCUGUUUGACUUAACACUAUAGUUAGCUAUUGGCCACAGAAUAGCCCAAGGACCAAACAGAAAACAUAAAUUAGAAUCAUAUCAAGUGGAGGGGGGGGGGAGAGAGAGAGAGAGAAUGAUACUCAUAUGUAUAUCUAAAAGAAGAAGAUUAAUUUUUAAUCAUCCUUAACCUUUAGGUGUAUGGUAUUCUUAAUUCAAUGCCUUAAGAAUAUAGCAUUUCCUCUAAAAAUUUCACCCAUCAAGUACUCCAUUUUCUGUUUGACUUAACACUAUAGUUAGCUAUUGGCCACAGAAUAGCCCAAGGACCAAACAGAAAACAUAAAUUAGAAUCAUAUCAAGUGGAGGGGGGAUGCAAAAGUAAUAUCAACACUGGGUAUUUAGUUCUACCGUUAAAGGCCAUCCUUUCAGAGUCAAAUUGUUACUGCCUUGAUUUGAUCCUGAAAUGAACAUAUGAAUCAUUCAUAGGAGAUAAAUAGAUACCAGAAAUAAAUUCAAAGAGCUUUUGAACGUUUACAAUUUUCUUAUUUAUCUGUUCAAGUUUCACACCCAAAACCCACCCAGAAAUUCCCCGUACAGAAUAAAAAAAACACAAUAUUAAUCGAUACCAUGAGCGCCAAUCAAUGAUCCUUCUGGAGCAGCAGCUCUGGGGUUCAUCAUCUCAGUCUUUAUGUCCUGUUUCAUCAUUCAAAGGAAACCCAAAAUAAGAAAAAUCAACCUGUAUGGAUAAAAAACGAAGUAUGAAACAGAUCGCUGAUGAUAAUCACCUGUGUCGAACCAGGAAGUUGCUGACUCCGGUUGUGAGCUUGUUGAAGAUUCCCCAACAUACCUCCAGGUGUACCAUGCAGCAUUUGACUGUCAGGAAGGAGUUCAACCACUUUCAUAUUAAGCAUCAAUUGCACACAAAGAGCAUGUGUUACACCACAAUGCUGAGUAAUGGUAAAUAUGGAAUCUUCAAGAGAAAUACCGAGGAGGCUGGCCACCUGUAGUGGCGGCUUUCAACAAUGAGGCAUGAUUGGAAUCCAGAAGCUGACUCACAUUAUCACCUAAUCUUUGCUGCAUGGUGUACGUAUUGUGAGUUGAUGAAUAGAUGAAAGGAAUCUAAAAUAUAAAGAACUUCUUUGAAUCUAUGGAAAAACUUAUUACCUUGAUAGCUGCAUCAUCCAAACCAUCCCUCUGUAUUGGAAGCUUUAAUCUCUCUUCAUACAUUUUUGUUGCCAUUGAAUUAGCAGUUGCAGGGUUCUGCCUCAAAAGAGGGUCAUUGCCAACAAGCCCAUUGGCAGUGCCAUUUAGAAGCUGGGUCCCAUCUCGACGCUGCUGUUGCUGCUGUUGCUGCUGCUGCUGCUGCUGUUGUUGUUGCUGCUGCUGCUGCUGUUGCUGCUGUUGCUGCUGUUGCUGCUGUUGCUGCUGUUGAUGCCUCUGUAACAACUGCUGCUGCAUUUGCAUUUGCAUUUGCUGUUGCGGCUGAGGCUUCUGCUGCUGAUGUUGCUGCUGCAGCUCCCUCGCCUUCAUCACUUGAGUCUAACACAUCCAAACAAACAGUGAAACAUUUCAAAUAGAGAGAAGUCCAAACAAUUCCAUCUAUAUUUAUGAAUUGAAAGAAAAAACGUCAGAGCCAAGGUUGAAGUCCAAUAGAAGUCCGCACCUCAAUGUAAGAUGCAGCUGCUUCUGAGUGCUUCUCAUUCGUCCUAGCAAUAAAUAUGUCCCAAAAGACAGACCACCAUUCGAAAAGAAAGCCACCAGGUGCAUCAAUAGCUGGAGCAAGAGUAAAAUCAAAGAAAUGUAAAUAAAUUCAGAUAUACAAUUCGCAGUAUGCAGUGCAUCUCUUUUCUUUGGCAUAUAUACUUACCUACAGGAUCUGUAGACACUUUUCCUUCAUCUUGAAAUGCCUUUGCAGAAGCAUGUAAUUUUCUCUUCAUAAGGUAAUCAUAUAUAUACACAUCCAACCUGUGAUCCAAACAAAUUAUAAAACUUCCACAUUUCAGGAGUCCAAAAAACUUUAACUUCUGAAAAUUAACAUUGGAAGAAGGUCCACAAUGCAAAAACAUAAAAUCUGAUACGAUGCUAAUCCACCAAUCCAGUGACAAGAAAACGAAUGAAAAUAUUAAACAUUACAAUCAUUGAAACAAAUUCUUCUCACUAAUUAAGUUUUUUCUGUCAAGCUUAGUUGAAGCGAAUUAUUUAUUUUCUAGAACAAACUGAAUCAAACAUGAGAUUCAAAAUUGAAGUUCUUUUAAGAAAGUCCUCAACAUCAAAAGACAUGUACAACAACAACAGCUUUUUGGAUCUACAAUGUCACCCAUAUUUUGGGAGGAGAAAACAAGUAACUCAGCUCGUGUGUUGUUAGUUGAGGAAAAAAACUCAAAUUUACCGAAACGCAAAACAAUACAAAAUAGAAGACUGAAAAGUUAAGGGCCCGUUUGAAAACCAUUUCAAUUUUAGUUUUUAGUUUUUAGUUUUCAUUUUUGUGCUAGAGUAUAGAGGAGAAGCAUNNNNNNNNNNNNNNNNNNNNNNNNNNNNNNNNNNNNNNNNNNNNNNNNNNNNNNNNNNNNNNNNNNNNNNNNNNNNNNNNNNNNNNNNNNNNNNNNNNNNGGUAGUGAUGGCUUUCUGUUGGACCUCCCUCCCAUCCUCCCCUCUCAUCCUCUCUCUCCAUCUCAUCCUCACUCCCAUUCUCACUCUCAUUUUCCUCUAUACUCUAGCACAAAAAAUGAAAACUAAAAACUAAAACUGAAAUGGUUAUCAAACGGGCCCUAAAUUUCUUUCCUCUUUUCCUGUUUUUUUUCUGGAGCAGGGAAAAAUAUGAGACAACUGCAGAUACAAAGAUUCAUCCAAAUAAACAACACCCCAUCUCAACCCUCAAUCCAAUCAAACAAACGUCACAAGCAAAGCUUGGAAAAAUAAAAGAAGGAAGAACGGAAAGAAAACACAAAGCCAGGCAACAACAAGAAGCAUGAAUAUAUUCAUAUACGAAAAUAUGGAAGAUAUCUCAACAGCAACAGAGCCUUUCAAAAACAUGUAAAAAGCAAAGUACCCAUUACAGAAUAAGGUCACAAAAAUCCAAACCAGAGAGACCAAAUCGAGCCCCAAAAAACGACACAAAUUUUGCACAAGCCAACAGCAAAGGCAACAACUUACCCAGCCUCAAUAAGCUUGAAUGUUAUUCUUUAAAAGAAAUAAUUAAAACGAAGAAAAGGCGGAAAAUUGAACACUAAAGAAAUACCCGUUUGAACAAAGAUAACAAAGAUAACAAAAACAACAGUACCCACCAAAACUGAACACUGAAGAAAGAACCCUAGAACCAAAAGCUCACUACAAAUCCCCAAAAUACAAGUGGCUACUACCAUGACAACAGCAAAACGAAGAAAAGGCAGAAAAUAUCAGGACCAAAGUAACGUUAAAAGAAACAAGACGAAGUAAAAAGUACUUACAUUUUAUCAGCUUCCCAAUUGGUCUGACUCUGAGACAUGAUUCUGAGAUUAACAGCAAGAGCAAUUUGUAUGUAAAUCCGAAGCCUUCGACACUUAGCAGAUAACGAAGUCGAAUGUCGGAGAAAUUGUGUUAAAAUGCUCAGGGUCCUGUCUUCUGCUCUUCGGAAGCAGAUGGAAGUUUUUGUUUUGUUUUCUCCUUCACUCUACUUGAAAGUUGAAGACGAUAACCUCCUCUUUCAAUACUAAAAUAAUAUUUUUCAUUUUUGUGGUUUUUUUUUUAUCUUUAUCUUUUUCUCUUUUUUUGUUUUUACUUUCCUUUAGAUUAUUUUUAUGAGUUUUUUUCUUCUUUUGUUUUUAGCAGGCGUAGUGCUCCUUCUUCUCACUCUUCAAUUCUAAAAUGUCACGCAACCGGUGCAUAAGAUGGUUGGCAUUCACUUAUAUUUAUUUUUUCUUUAAAAUUUUUUUUGAAUUUUUUUUUUCUUUGCCAAGCUUUUAUUAACUUGGUUGGCAAGUAAUGCAUGCAUUUUAAAAUUAAAUCAUUCCUAAUCUACAUCUCUAAUCUGUAAUGUAAAUGGUUUCCUUUUCUAUAAUUUAAGUUGUGUUUAUCUUGAUGUAUUACUUUAAUACAAUGUAUGUUUAUUCUCCUUAUCUUAGCUUUAAACAUAAACGAAUUAAGUGAGCAUUUCUUAUUAAAAUAAAUUAUCACAACUAUUUAGUUUACCAUUCUCUGUAUGUUUCUCAGAUGCUCAAGCAUAUUCAUCAUUAGAGUUUAUUUGGGAGUGAUUCUGAAUAAGCUACAAUCACUUUUAAGAAAAUUCACCUCUUAUCUGCUUCUCUAUUAAAUCAUCUAAAAUUAUUAUAUGAACAAGUGAUUCUCCAUAGAAGAACUUCUAGUUCAUAUUGUUAUAAAAGGAGAAUUGUGCAGAACAAAUAUUAACAUAACACUUGACUUUUUUUUGCUUCAUUUUAUAUUGAUUGGUUAUUGGCAGACUAAUAAGCAAAUGAUGUUUUUUUUUUUUUUUCCAAUGCAGCUUUGUUUGUUUGGUAACGAUUUUUUUCUACGGUCGUAGGACGCUUAAAGAGGUCAAAAUAGAUCAGAAUAAGUUUGGCGUGACCCGCUCUUUUUCAUCUUCUGGCUUUGUAAAGUCUGCAUAUCACAUCACGGAUUGCUUGAUAAUAUUUACUGCCAAAUUGUCUUUAUUGGUGCCAGAAUAAAAAAAGUUCGACAGGCUUUGCAGUUUGCUGCAAAGUCACAGAGAGUCAGAGAAAGGUGGUUGGGAAAAUUCCAAGUCUUUAUCUUUUUUAACGCACCAAAUCUCUUAUUUAAUGUUAUGAUUGAAGACCCUAUUCGUUCAUUUUGUUGUGAUUAAAUCAUGAGCAUCAUUAGCUGGUGCAAAUGCUAAAAGAAGAGAAUAAUUUUCAAUUCUAAUUUCCUGAAACAAGAUCAUGCCUAAUCCCAAAACUGAUAUAUGAACCGAGUUGUGUUUCGACCCCACAAAAAAAAAAAAAACGCCUAGUUGUGUACAAAAUUUGCCAUAAAACAGAAGGUUGAAUAGAGGCACUACCUCCAAUGUGCCUCCUGUAAGGCCUUUUUCUAGAACGAGGAGAUUCCUGUGAUGCAAAUAUGACUUUCUAAUAAAAAAAAGUUAACCAUCUCUUUCUACCAAGCAAUUAUUAUAGAAAGAAAGGGUACCAAGACAAAAAAGACACAAAAGAAGGCCAUGAUUUCUCCAAUUAUUCUUUGAAAUCAUCCUUGUCAUCAACAGGAAUUGGUGUGUUUCUCCAAAACACAGCAAGAGCACUCCCACCGAGCUGUUAGGAAGACAAUUAUGACAGUAAAUUAGAGUGUACUUGGGUUAACUCAAAGGAAAGCUAAGAAAGAAAAAGGAGAUUUUAAGAGAGUCAUACCGCCAUGCAAACAACACUAACAGCAGAAGGGACAGCUACAAGAGGGUUUGUAAAAUGCUUUUGAGCAAGUAAAAACCCAAGUGCUGAGCUCUGCAAAUGAAAUUAUCAAGAACGUAAAUUAGAGGUUACUUUAAUUUAUCUAACAAUUUCAGGUUUGUCAAGAUUAACACAUCCAGUAAAAGUUCAGUAUACAAAUGGAAUUCAUGAUUUGCAAGACGUCAGAGAUCAGAUGAACUUGUUCAACCUUGACAAACUCCUUGUAAAAUCAGUAUGGAAAUACUAACUGAGAAGUUGUUUACCUGCAUCCCACACUCUAUGGAUAUGGUACGAGAAGUAGAUUCACCAAAUGAUAUUUUUGAAACAAAAUAACCAAUAGCAAAUGCAGCACCAUGUAGAACAGCCACCGGGAGUAUUAGUUGUGCUCCUUGUGUUUUCAAGACUUCAGAAACUUGCCCGAUCUUAAAAAAUGUAAGAAUUCAAGUUACCCCAUUAGAUGCAAUGUAACUUCAUGAAAUCACAAAAGCUAUCGAUAUGGAAUAGUCAACUCAGUUAAUAUUUUGUGACUUACCGGGCUUGCACAGAGUAGAGUGGUGAGAAUUACUCCAAUUAAAGGAGUCACUGAGGCUAUUUUUGAAGUGACUUUGGGGAAGAACUCAUUUGCCAGCACUGUCACAUAAAGCAGGGAGCAGAGUUUUGAUUAUGAAUGUAAGUCCAGAUAUUGGAAAUAAGCUGUGGUUUGCGAUAAUUGAUUUUCAGAUUCUGAUGGUAACUAUAAAAUAUUUUAGUUACCUCCAACAAUUGUUGGCAUUAAAACAACCUGGAAAGUGCUGAUUGCUAGGCCCUGCAAAGAUGGUGGGAGAAAAUAUCACUGUCAUAAGUGGUAAUACAAGAUAUCAAUGUCACAUGAUUAAUGUAUUAGGUGUCAUAAUUAUGUCUUUUGGAUUCCUAAGUGUAUUAAUGUGGAUCUUUCAAGAUUCAUGUACCAAUUAUCCUAUAAAAGGGGCUACUUUGUAAGCUUUUAAAAUAAGAGUUAGUGAAAGAAAAACAGUUAUUUUCAACUCCAACUUGUGUGUGAGGCGCGAGUUGACUUGGAGUGAAUCCAAGGCACCUUCGGUGUGAUGCCGAAAUUUUUCUAAUUUCUCUAUUGGACACUUUUGGUGCAAUGCCAAAGGCGAAGUGAGUCCGGAUCUCUUUAUUUUUUUCCUAUCUGAUCAUGUUGUCCUACAUCAGUCAACAUGUUUGAACUUACCGCAGCAUCAACUGGAACAAGCUGGCCAGCAAGAAGCUUGGUAAGAAGCGGUGUCAUAAUAAUAGCUCCUAUUGUUGAACACCUACAAAAUUCCACAAAAUAAUCACAUUAAGAUGUAGUAAAGACUCUUGCUUUUUGUUUUAUAAUAUAAAUUUCGGUAACAGUCAUUACCAUUAUAGAUAGUAUGCAAUCGCAUUUCCAAGGUAGCAUAUAUUUGGGACAGAAAAUCCUAACUGCCUUGAAUUAACCUUAUGUUCUAAACAUUCUGAAUAUAGUUCUCUGAUUUUAAAUUGCAUUUGAGUGCAUAUGACUUACGUUGUCAUGAGAACAGAAAGUGCAACAUUUCCUUUAGAUAUAUAAGUUGCAACAUUUGACGCCUGACCACCAGGACAGCAUGAGACCAAGAUAAGACCAGUCGCAAUAGGUGCAGAAAGUUUUAGCGUCUGAAAAUCAGAGAGGAAAUCUUAGAUAACAUAUAUGUUUAAUCAAUACUACCAUUGCAUCCAAACACUAUUAAAAGGCAUGUGGUUAUCCAUAAACUUAUCCAGUCAACCUGCCCUUUUUUUUGGUAAUACAAGAGAGGAUCUUCGAAUAUGGAUGGGCGGUAAACAUGAGCUUUUUAGUUAAAGUCUGAAUUGAGCAAAUAUUUUAUGUAUGUGUAAAACCUGCUUUUCUAAUUCUGUUAUCAUGAACUUGAAUGGUAAAGGACAAAUUCUAUAAGAAAUUAAUAUAUUUCAAUAGUAAAUUACACGACAGCCCACAAAAAUUUUGAAGAAGAAAUACCAGGGCAAUGACAAAGCCUAGCAGAGGUUUUAUCAUGUACUGUGCAAGAAAUCCUACACCCACCUGCAAUAAAAAAAAUUCAACACCAUUUAAUAAUAGAUCAUUCUGUUUUCGAAAGUGUCCGGCGACUUAAAUUUGAGUGGAUGUUACUCACAGUCCAAGGAUUACGUAAACAUCGUCUAAAAUCCUCGAAGGUCAAUGUCAAACCCAUAGAAAGCAUGAGGAAACCCAGUCCAAGUGUGAAAAGGUCUGUCUCCAACCAAGUUACCUGCAGGAACCCCAACAAUAAGCUAGUUAUACACUAGUUGAUAUGCCACAUAUUGAAGUAGCAGGCAAAGAAAUAUUACAGCAGAUGGCUUGUAGAUCCCCAGGAUGGUGCCCAAUAUGACCUGUCCGUGGAAUUAGAUUUAGAAUGUGAAAGUGUUCCUUGAGAAAGCUUUGUUUAAAAUAGACACAGAAGUAAGCAAUUAAGAAGUAUCGAAAAUGAGAAACUGAAUAACAGUUUCAAAUUUUUAUAGGGUUGAAAUGUAAUACCUACCCACACAGGAAAUAGAGUUGUCAAAGUUUCAAUUAUUCUCUCGUACUGGCUCAUCCCACUAGAAGUGCUACCGGGAAGAUCUCCAGAUAAAUUUCUUGCAGCCUUGCACAAAACUUCAGAGUUCCUACAUAUAGCCGCCAACAAGCUGGUCAUAAUGUAUAGAGAAUGUGGAAUUGGUUGUUCAUUAACCAGGAAGUGCAGAAUAUUAAGUAAAGAUAAUAAUGCUUGAAAAGGGCAACCAUCUCUAUAAAUAGUUGGCUAAAACGAGGACACAGACCGGACAGUAUAUGGUUUAGAGCAUUACUGGUAAAUGGUUAUCUGCUGGUGUAAAGCUUGAGACCAGUUCCCUAAUCAAGUGAGGGCUGUCUCUUCUCCUAUUGGUGUAAAUAAAGCACAUCAAUAUAUGCUUUUCCACAUUCUCCUCCAAGACUAAAAAUUUCCCAUUGCCUAUUCCACUAUUGUUCCCUCCAGCAUUAACCAGUAAUGCUUGUGCAUGAUCACAUUGAUAUAUUAACUUUUCUUUCAUCAAAGACGUAUCAAACAGAGUAAAGAAGAACUUGAAAGCAAAACACGAUGUUCGGAAGGAAAAAAAACACCUUGAUUUGGAUUGCAAAACGAUGGGACUCCAUGGCUUGCUUUGGAUUGCACAACUUCUUCCAUUCUCAGGCACAGAAAGAUCUAUACAACAAUCAAUGUCAGAAAACAAAAGUUUGAAACAGAGGGAAAGAGAAGAAAUGUCAGUCCCCACAAAAUGGGAACACGAAAUUGAGUAAAUUUGAAGUCCCAAAGCACAGAAUUUUAUAUAUAAAAAAACAACAAAAGAAACAGAACCCAAUUGCCAGAAGCCGAUAAAAUCACUAGCCAGAAAGAAUAAGCAUUGAAACCAAGCAUGAAUUGAAUUACACGUACCCAGAUGAGUUUGCAGCCUCCUUGCAGAUAGAGAAGAGCUUGGCCUGCAGAAAGCGUCACAUGUUCUUAACUUGAAAUCCUUUACAGAAAAUCUAGACAUGGACGACAUUGAAUCGAACUUGUGAUUCGAUCAAGAGGGAGGAGAUCAAAGGAGCACUGGGUUUAAGCUAAAAUUUCAAAAGGUGGUAAGCAUGGGGUUUUUGGAUGUGUUGGUGGGGUUUUCACAGGAAGCUUGCCUCCAAAAUGCUUGGCUCGGCUAUGUGUUGUGGGCAGUCGUGGAAACCGAUGAGCCACACAUAUCUAUACGUAUCUCAUCCAAAUCUUUUAGGUAUAAAAAAGAAAAACCAAUUGGAUUGUCGUUGGAUUGAAAAUCACAGUUUAUGCAGGCUUGGAGCUCGCGCAAUUUUCUCUUGACUGGGAAAUAAAAUUACAGAGAAGAGCUCGCAGCAACAUGAGCAGUAAGUGUAACAGAAAGUUAAAAGCUUUUGACUUUCAGUGUUUUCACUUUAAAAAAAUAAAAAAUACCACAUUUGACCCGAAUUUUGUGUCAAAGUAUAUAUAAUAAUACCUAGCCUUUUGGUAAAUUCGAACCCAAAAUAUUUGUACUUUAUGAUUCAUUCAUCUAGAGAAGUGAUAAUUUGUUGAUAAGAUUAAAAACCAUUUUAACGGACUAUAAAGUUAUAAACACACUCUUAAAAUCAAAUAUAAUUACAAUGUUUGGAAAAUUAUUGAAAACUAAUUUUUUUUUUAUUACACAUAGUUUAACUAUAAGGGGAGGGACCCCGUUGGCUUUUGAAAACUAAAUUUAAGUGCGAGUCAACUGUAAUUUUCUAAAACAUAAAAAUUAUAGUCACGCUCACUCCUAACUAAAUAACAGCAAGCAACACCUAGUAAAGAAAUUAUAAUUAUUAAAUUUUGAAAAAUUAAAAAAAAUGAAAAUAGUUCUUGCAAAUUGCAAUGUGGGCCUAAAGCGGCCCAUGUUCCAGUUACCAUAGAACGACUCUUUUUUAGUGGCUGGGCCUCUGACAUUUCUGAGUUAACCCAUAUCCAUUGGCGUGGUCUCUCUUGAUGCUCUUCUUUUCUUUCUAUUCUACGAACAAACAAAUUCUUUUAUUUUUCUAAUUUCUACCUACACUGUGAAAAAUUAAGGGUCAUUUUCUCUUUCUUCUGAUUUUAAAUAUUUAGCUGUUCUGAGUGAUUGAUGUUGCAGACAAAAAUUUGUCUUCAUUGAUAUGCUGCUAGCUGUCUCUCUCUUGUUUUCUCACUGCAUUAAAAUCUUCUUCUUGUCAUGGCCCCCUUAUCUGUUGAAGCAAUGGCACUGUGGCAUGGCAUCUGAUUAAUCUACUAGCCUGCACCAGCACCAGCACCAGCACCAGCACCAGCACCAGCACCAGCAGCUAUCUUUCCAAUGACUUUAUUUUUCUGCUUUUGCUCCAUCCUCUCCUCUGUCUGCAACUCUCAACUCAGCCAUUAUAUUAUAUGGUCCUAAAUUUUGAUGAGCAUAAAUUUAAGUAAUUUCUGUGCAGUGAUCAUCAACAUGGGUCUUAUCAAAUGGUCCAACCCAAGAUUGAAGUAUUUUGUGUUUGGCUUCCCAGAAAAUGGACACACCCUUUUUUUUUUCUGACUGAAGGAAAAUCAAAAUCUGGGAAAGUUGGUGGUUGGAUAUGCAUAAUGCAGGAAUAUUGAUUGGGGGCAGCGCCUUAGCAAUAGGAUACACACACAUCCAUGUUCUUGGCUCUCAUUUGAGACACACAUAUAUCCAAGCCUAGUCCAUGGUUCAUGGACCACCUGUUUAAUUUACAUACAAUUACCAUAGUUUGGAUGCCAUGAUUUAUUUCACAGAAUUUGAGGCAUUAGUUAAAACUGGACAGGUUUUGUUUCACCUCCAAAAUAACUUCAUGAAACAUGAUAUCAAAUAUUUAUUUUUUUAUAGCCUAGUAGGAAAGAGUUUUGAUUCGUAAAUUAGUGGUCUUAAAUUCGAAUCUUCAUGGUACCUUAAUUGUGUGUGUGUGUGAGAAACUCUCAUCACUUAUAGUUUAGACUAUCGCUUAUAUAAAAAAUAAAAAUAAAAGCACAAACCCAUAGGCAUUAUUGUACACAAUAUAUCCUAUAUAUUACAAUUUAAAAAGAAAAAACAUGACAAGAUUUAGAUAUUUCAAUCUGAUCUAAUAUAAUUCAGGGUAUUUGAUGUAUCAAUAAUUCAGUGCAGUACAAAAAAGGGUCUAAAUCUAAAAGAAUUGGGACAUAAUAAGAAGAUAAAAAAGAGGCAGUGGCUUUCUCUCUAGUACCAAAUUAAAGUGACACAUUUUGGUCAUAUGCCAUUGCCCAUUGGGUUGCUCAUACACAUUCGUCAUCUAACCUGUCUUCUGAUAACCACUUGAUUUAUCAGAUUUUUUUAUUGUGAUGGCCGUGGGAAUGAGUUGGGGGGGACCGAUUCCAGGCCAAAAGGAAGAUCAUUUUUUGUUUCUGCAUAAAACUUAUCUUUCAAGGCCUCCCAAAAAUCCUUUCAAUUUUUUUUUUUAUUUUUUUAUUUUCUUCAUAUAUUUUCUUCAUAUGCAGCAAUAUUUAUUUUCUUCAUAUAUUAUGCUUUCUGGUGGCCCUAUAUCUAUCCAUGCGCUGGUUUUUAUUCUUCUUUCCGAAUGACAUAUUCAAACGAGCUUGAAAAAGAAAAGAAAAAAUAUUCCCAGCCCAACCCUAUUUCCAGGUCAAUGACAUAUAUAUUUUCAGGGGAAAAGACACACGGAGAAACAGUUUGUAAAUAGUAACGAUAUUUGGCAGAGUGAUUAAUAUCGGUUUAAUCAGAUUUAUGGCAUAAUUAAUAUCUGUUUUGCUAGAAUGAGUUUCUGCAGAGAGAGAGAGAGAGAGAGAGAGAGGAGGACCCAUCUCUCUGUAUAUGGAAGUUGGAAAUGUGUCUUAUGCACAAGCACUUGCUUAAAAAGCAGUUGCAGCAAAGCCCUACUUUCACAUUACUUCUUGGAAGAUUUUGUUUUCAUCAGUGCGUAUUAGUUUGGCCAAAUUGGGUUACGUGGCAGCUUUCUUUGUCAUGAUCAUGAUGUGUUUGAUUUACACUGCAGGAGUAAAAUGUGGAGCAGUGUGUAGUUUAACACUAGUUGGCUUGGCUUUACAAAAAGGAAUUGAAAUAAGCAACUUUUUUCUUCUUUUUUGUAACAUAACAUGUCCUUUUCCCUCGAAUUCCUUCUCAGGCUGCUUUCUCUUGUACCGGGAGGGAGGGUCCAAUGCCAGAUUUAUUUAUCCACCCUCCAAGUGUUAACAUUACCUACCCCUUUCAUCUGUAAUUUUUAAGGCACAUUACUCCUGAUUGAUUGGGUAUCUAAUUAAAGUUUUGUUUCCCUUCAAAUAAUUAUUUGCUUGGAAAGUAAUUAAAUUAAACAGUACCUUACCUUAUUAUGAUACAAUACAAAAGGCAAUUAAUUUUUGCUUACUUGAGUUGGUGAGCAUUGGCAGUUGAGAUUAAUUAUUUACUUCAUCAAAACAUUAAACAAUAAGAAUUUUUUUUGUUAAUUUAAGCAUGACACUCGAUUUGCCAUACCAAACAUACGUGAAAUGCCAAAUACCCCUCCCCUAACAAAGGAAGAAUUACACCAUACAAUACAAUACCAAAUGAUUAAAGAUACUAAAGGGGUACAUAGAAAUCUACAUAUUAAACUCAAUGUGUAAAUUUGAUAUACUUGAUCAUUGCCCUUUAACCAAUCAAAUUUGCUUAAAAACUCAAAUUCAUACAUUUUAAUUUAAUCCAAGCUUGAGCCUCUUAAUACUCAACUAAUUUAAUCCACAAUUCACCACUUGUUUCCUAUAUCAACAAACAAAAUCUAAUGUUUACUAUUAUAGACUGUGGAUCAAUCUAUGAUAAAUUCAGUCAAGAAAAAUGUACUAUGAUAUUUGAUUUUAUAUCUUAAAUUUUUUUUAUAAAAAGGAAUUGGUCAAUCAGUUAGUAGAUGAGUCCCAUAAUAGCCAUGUUAACAGUUAAUAGGUGAUCAUACAAUUUAUGUUUGAGAAUAUUGGUGUAUAAAUUGAUGAAAUUGAAAUCACAAACCCCUAUUAAGUAUUUUUGUUUAUCGAAUAAUUUUGUAGGUUUUUUUUAUUGAUUCACAUCUUUAACUAGCAAGAAUUCUCCAUGAAUAUUUUAAAUACGGCAAGGAAUUUGUGGUUUAAAUUGUUAAGAUAGUUACUCAUACACUGAAGGUAAGGCAUCAUGGUCGAGUCUCUUGUCUCCUAAUAUUUAUCAUAUAUAAAAAAUACCCUCAUAACCGAAAAAAUUGAUUUUUUUUCAUGAAAAACAUAUUAAUAUGUAUAAUAAAUUAAAAGUGUGACGGUUUAAUAUACGAAUUUUUAACCGUCUUCCACCGUAUUAUUAUUAUUUUCUUCACAUAGGCCAAAGGCGAAGGGGCAGAGUCGUCAAGUUGCCACCCGUCACUGCCGCUAAACCAACGCGCCUACCGCCAGAGUCUAGACAAAAUAAAUAAAUAAACGUUUUUUUUUAUUUGUAAUUAAAUUAACAAGGACAAUAAAUUAGUAAUAAAACGUUUCCACUGCUGCCUGCCAGCAAUGCAUAGCAUAGCAUAGCAAAGCAUAUGUGACUGCUGCUGUUUUCUCUCUGCUUUAUUUUCCCCUUUCUUGGCCUCGUGAUACCCUUGUCUUUUACAGCUUACAAAACCCUCUGCCUCUCCCUCUCCCUCUCUCUCCCUCUCUCUCACACACACACAGACACAGACACAGUAGCCAGCUAGUACUCUCUCUCUCUCUCUGAUGGGUUUUCGCCGGAAAACCAUUUAUUGUUUUGUCCAAAACCGCCAUAGCAAACCUCCAUUGAAACCUCGCUCCAUCUAGGGCAUAACCAGAACCAACAAUAAACACCAUUGUUGUUUUCUUCUUUUUUCCUUCAAGGUGUAGAAAAAUGGCAGUGACCAGUAGUGCUAGUGUGGGCUUUAGGUGUGUGGUUGGUUUUCUCGUUACGUUUUUGGUACUGAGUGGCGGGCGAGUCAACUCGGAGCCGACCCAGGACAAGCAAGCCCUCCUUGCGUUUCUCUCCCAGACCCCACACGAGAACCGCGUGCAAUGGAACUCGUCCGUUUCAGCCUGCACCUGGGUCGGGAUCACCUGCGACGCCAACCAGUCCUACGUCUCUGCUCUUCGCCUCCCGGGAGUCGGCCUUGUGGGACCGGUUCCGCCCAACACACUCGGCCGGCUGAGUCAGCUCCGAGUUCUGAGUCUGCGCUCCAACCGCCUCAACGGUCCAAUACCCUCUGAUUUCUCAAACUUAACUCUGCUCCGCAGCCUCUACCUACAAGGCAAUCAGUUUUCCGGCGAGUUCCCGCCCGGGUUGACUCGGUUGGUCCGGUUAACCCGGCUCGAUCUCAGCUCUAACAACUUCACCGGCCCAAUCCCAUUCACCGUCACCAACUUGACCCACUUGACCGGACUUUUCCUUGAAAACAACGAGUUCUCGGGUAGUCUGCCCAGCAUCUCAGCCGGUAAUCUGAGAAGCUUCAACGUCUCCAACAACAAACUCAACGGCUCAAUCCCCGCGUCCCUAUCCAAGUUCCCUGACUCCGCAUUCACCGGAAACUUAAAUCUCUGCGGCAAGCCGCUUACAGCGUGCAACCCAUUUUUCCCAGCACCCGCUCCAUCACCCUCGACCCCGCCCGUAAUCCCAGUCCACAAGAAGUCCAAGAAGCUAUCCACCGCCGCCAUUGUUGCGAUCGCCGUGGGGUCCGCUCUGGCUUUGUUUCUGUUGCUCCUGGUUCUCCUGCUUUGCAUCCGGAAACGACGUCGUCAGCAGCAGGCUAAGCCCCCGAAGCCGCCGGUGGCGACGCGGUCGGUGGCGGUGGCGGAGGCCGGAACGUCGUCGUCGAAGGACGAUAUCACGGGUGGGUCCACGGAGGCGGAGAGGAACAAGCUAGUGUUCUUCGACGGUGGGGUCUACAGCUUUGACUUGGAGGACCUGUUGAGGGCGUCGGCGGAGGUUUUGGGGAAGGGAAGCGUGGGGACGUCGUACAAGGCGGUGCUGGAAGAAGGGACGACGGUGGUGGUGAAGAGGCUGAAGGACGUGGUGGUGACGAAGAGAGAGUUCGAGAUGCAAAUGGAGGUUCUGGGUAAGAUUAAGCACGAUAAUGUGGUGCCUCUGCGGGCGUUUUACUUCUCCAAGGACGAGAAAUUGCUCGUCUACGAUUACAUGGCCGCCGGUAGCUUGUCUGCUCUUCUUCACGGUACGAUUUCGAUUCCCCAUUUUGCUCUUCAAUUUUCAAUUUUAAUUUUUUUAAAUCUUGGGUCGUUGAUUGAAUUCUUGGUAUAAUUUUUAAUUGGUCGAAAGUCUGAGGGAAUAAAUGUAGUGCUCACAGUCACAGGUAUAUUUGUUUCUUAUAAUAUUAAGUACCUGCAUUGUUGUUUCCCCAAAGAUUAGAUUCGAUUAGAUUAGAGUGGAGCUUGAGCUGUUCCAGUCCAGUCUUCAAAUUUAAAAUUGUCAAUUUAGUAUUUAUUAUUGAGUGCAUAAAUCAGAAAAUUGAAAAGGCAUGUGGAAUCAUUCGUGGCGCAAAUCUUUGAUCCCAGAAAAACCUCUGCUUGUUUACGUUUUCUUUCUAAUCACCGCUCUCCGCGCUGAUUCCACUGUAAUUUUGCUGUUUCUGGGCAAACAUUCUUAGUGUGCAAGCUACGCAAUUCAUGUCUCUGUUUUUUCUUUUUUUUUAAACAAUUAAAAAAUCCCAAUUUGGUAGGGAAAAAAAAACAUGAACAGGUAGGUCGUCAUGAUUCGCCAUGGUGGUGGCCAGUGGUCACCGACACCAUUUUACUUUACUUUCCCUUUCAUUUUUCUGUGUCAAAGCUUUUACUUCUUUUUAGGAAAAGCCGGGGCAGGCCCAAAAAGAGAACGACCGAUCCCCUUUCUUCUUAACCUUCAAUUUUUUUAAAUAACAAAUAAUUUGGUGGCGUAAACAUGAAUUUCCGAUAAUUUUUAUUGCAGGAAGCAGAGGCUCAGGGCGCACGCCGCUCGACUGGGACAACCGGAUGAAAAUCGCGCUAAGCGCUGCGAGAGGCAUAGCGCAUCUCCACGUGUCAGGAAAGGUGGUCCACGGCAACAUUAAAUCCUCCAACAUCCUUCUCCGACCCGAGCACGACGCUUCGGUUUCGGACUUCGGGCUCAACCCGCUAUUCGGAACCUCCACCCCGCCCAAUCGGGUCGCGGGCUAUCGCGCGCCAGAGGUCGUUGAGACUCGCAAGGUCACUUUCAAAUCCGACGUGUACAGUUUUGGUGUGUUGCUGUUAGAGCUAUUAACCGGGAAAGCGCCCAAUCAAGCCUCGCUGGGCGAGGAGGGCAUCGACCUGCCCCGGUGGGUCCAGUCUGUUGUCCGGGAGGAGUGGACCGCUGAGGUGUUCGACGUGGAGCUCAUGAGGUACCACAACAUUGAGGAAGAGAUGGUUCAGCUUUUGCAGAUCGCAAUGGCUUGCGUGUCUACUGUGCCCGAUCAGAGACCCGCCAUGCAAGAGGUGGUCCGUAUGAUUGAGGAUAUGAACCGGGCCGAGACCGAUGAUGGCUUACGGCAGUCGUCCGAUGACCCUUCGAAAGAAUCGAGCGGUCAUACGCCUCCCGCAGAGUCCAGGACCCCACCCAGCGUGACACCCACACCUUAGAAAAUUGUCAAUCCCAAAAAGAAAACAAAAAUGUAAAGGAUCUGAAAUUGAAAGGGGAAAAGAGGCAAUGUGGGUUAUUUCAUUUGUGGUGGGUCUCCUAAAAACGUGCACAGUGCUCAAUUAGGAGGAGGAGGAACUAAAGUGCAUAGUUAAUUGUGGGGUAUUGGGUCUGGUUGGUCCGAUAUCUGGUUUUUUUUUUCCCCUUUUUUUUAAACUUUAGUUUUUGUAUUUUUAAUUUGGGUUUUUUUUUCUUUUUCAAUUUUUGAAUUUGUGUUUUUGCAAUUAUUUUUAUAGGUGGGAGGGAUGGUUUGAAUUGUUUAUGAAGUUGGGGGAAUGAGGUGGGGGUCCGAUUUCCAUGAGCUGAUUGGAAUUGACCAUUCGAUGGACUUUGGGUUUAUUUAAUUCUUUCUUUUUUUCAUAAUUCUAUUAUUCACAAUCCUCUCUCUCUCUCUCUCUCUCUCUCUCUCUUUACACAUGGCUUUUCUUGUUUUCACUUAGUUUUUAUAUUUUGCCCUUUUUAAUUUUAGGGGAUCCAGCUAUACAUUGUACAUGAGAAAGAUUUUCAUAAAACGAGGAUAACACUAUUGCUAUCAUCGGUCAAUAACGUUUUAAUGUCUGUAAUAAUAUUUUUAUAUAAUAUAAUAUUAUUAGUUAAAAAUAAGAAAACAAUAUUAUCUCUGCUGCAACUAAGUUUUUCUCCUAUGUACAGGUAACUGGGUUUUUGAAAAUUUCCUCUGAAAAAAAAAAUAUUUAAAACUCCAAACAAAUACUGGACUGGCUGGACCCAAUAUGUCGAGCAGCAGCACCCAAAAUGAAACAAAAGAAAGAAGAGAGUGGCCGAUGAUUGUACACCGUGCAUGCUGGGGGUCCCACCAAGGAGUAAUUAAUCGAAGGGAGUUCAAAAUGAUUGAAUAUCUGCACCGUCGAGUCCGGGUUCGGCGUUGUAGAAGAAGUUAGUUGUGGGGGAUCAUUUUGGUGGGUUUUGAGGAGGACUUGCCACGUGGCGUAAUGUGUCUCCGUUUACCGGCCCCGGCGAAGGAAUAGGGUGGGGGUGGGGAACAGCCUGGCCGGCUUUUUUACCCACUCGAUCCCUCUCUCUUUCUUUUCCUUUUUCUUUUAUUAUUGUCUGGGUCUCUGACGAGCAGAGAAGAGAGUGUUGACCCCGGCAUUAGAGAUGUCAGCCGUUGAUUCACGAGAUUAAUGGGCCCCACCUCUCUCUCUCAUCCAUCCGUCCAUUCAUCCAGCAUCAUCAGGCAGGGCACAGGGACAGUGAGGGACCCCCGUUUUUCUUUACUAACUUAUCGUCUUUUUUCAUCUUCCUCAAGAAGCAAGAAGCAUCCCCUUCACGCGCCCCCUCUAAAUUUGUGUUUCUGCUACUCGCUAGUGCAGUAUAGUAUAGACUAUGGAGUAAUCUAUUUGAUCCAUUUGUCACGACAACAAUUUUCUAUUAGUCUAAUUGUAUUUUUCCUCCUUGAUAAUGAAAGAGAUCAUUCUCCGUCCUCAAUUAAAAUCAAAAUAAAAAAUUAAGCAAAUAAAAAGGACAUUUAAAAAUUUCAGACCACUUCAGCCAUUAAAAAUUAAAUCAAAAAAGUUGUAUUAUUUCAAAUCAUAUAAAUUCAAACUUCUUAAUACCAAAAGGAAAUUGUCAAACUUCUAACCUUUUUUUUUUCUUUCUCUGGUGGUUGGACAAGCACAUUGAACAAAGCUUGACUAUUCGGACCCUCUUGCUUUGAAUGAUCCUUAAUAUUAGAAAUUUAAAUUCCUACCUCUCUCCCUUUUAAACAUUUUUCAUUUAUUUUGAGGAGAAGUUUUUCGUUCGUUUUAAAGGGUCAAACUUACUUAUAUUACUCAAGCAAGCUCAUCCAAUUUUAUUUUGAAAAAUACUCGCCUUUUUCCCUCUAAAUUAGAACUUCUAUUUUUCAACGAAGGAGGAAAGCAGUGUCGUUUUAGAACUAAGAUAGAAUUACCCUAACCUUGAGCAAGAAAUUGCCCUCCAAAAACUUGAAUCAUAUUCUAAGUUCUAGGCACGUGACUCCGUGAGCCACAUUUUCAUAGUUUGCUGCACCGAAAGUGGACGUUAGCAGGAGCAGCUUGCGGUCGUCGGACACAGAUUUGACUUUUCUUUUUCUUUUUUCACAAUGGCAGUAUUGGCAGUGGGCAAUUCAUUAUUAGCAACAAAGAUUCCUCCCCCUCUUACAGUUUUGUCUCUGGUUUAAUCUUCAAUUAAGUACCACUAAUUACAUUAGCAAAAAGGUAUUCAUGCAACUAAUCAGCAGAUUUGAAGUAUGAAACACUAAUUACUUCGCUAGCUAGUUGAUGAGUUCAUAAGACACAUGUAAAACACAAACAUGAAAUGUGGACCAUCUGAACAUGUGCUGAGGUUUUUGGAGUUCCUUUGGGCCAUGACAUUGACUUGCUACCCUUUAUUUUAUUAUUUUUAUUUAACUUUGGGUGUGACUUUUUUGACAGAGAUGCUUCAAAGAUUAUAUUCCUUGUGUUAGUGUCGUGAGGAUAAAGUUAAAUAAUGAGGUUUAGACAUGACUCUCUGCUUAAUAUAUUGAAAUUGUUGUGAUUUUUGGCAAAUUAGAAACUGAGCAAGUUUGUCAAUUAUAUAUAGCAUGGCAUUAUUGGGUUUGGGCUACUCUCUCUGACAGAUAUGGCCCAAUUUUCUGUCAUUUGUCAUGCACUUUCAGAAGACUUGGGAUGUAAGGGAGGGAGGUGUGAGUGUGAGUGUGACACCACAUAAAACGAGUCUUGAAAAUGAUCAUAUAUAAGUGACACUGAAAAAGCUUGGUCAUAUACUGCUUGGAUGUUUCAAGGAUUCUGCAACAACACUACUUAGUUAGAACUUAGAAGUGGUUGAAUUUCACGUCUUACGAUCUCAUAUAUAUAAAUUUUCUCAACCUUGUGUAUGGUUUUCUAAUCUUGGGAAUUUGGAUAAAUUAUUAUGUGGUCCAUGCAAAAUCAAAGGUGUUUGCAGUAAAGUAAAGAGAAUAGUGUGAUGCAUGGUUCACCUAAUUACAGAAAAUAUAUAUUUAAAGAAACCUUACUUACCUUAUUUAUUUCCCAGUUAAGUUAUAGUUCACCUAAAGUUUACCGUUUAGAAUUUGAGGACCGUAAAUCACAAACUUAUAUUUAUCUGAUUGUAGUUUGGUAUUUGAGUUGAGUAAUUAUUAAUUUCCAUAUUAAGGUUUUGGUGGGUAUGGAAAGCUACCCUAACCCUCUAGAUUAUGUGAUGAUGCAUACUUAUAAGUUAUAUUAGACAGGAAAAUACCAAUCGGUGACAUGUAUGUUUGUUUAUUCCUCAAGCAAACUAAAGACAAGAGAAGUGGGGAUGAUAUUAAUAAUGUAAGAUUUUGCAGUUUUCGUGCCUUCUAAGUUGAAGGAUGAAGUUUGAAGUUUGAAGUUUGAAGUUUGUCAACAACAGGUAUGGAUAUGGAUAUGGUUGUAACUUGUAAGCUUUCUGAUUUAAUUUGGGUUGUGAAGUCGUCCAAGCCAAAGGAAAAGAGUACCAUUUACAAAUAAAAAUAAGGUAUUUAUUUAGGUCAUCUGGCAAGAAAUGGGAACCUCCGCUCCACUUUUACUUGAGUUCGUUUCAAGUCACAUCCAAAUCAACUAACCAAAAUUUAAUAGCAAUUUGAGUUGGUGUCAAAUAAUUCGAGAAUUGGAAAGACAAGACCUUGCAGCUAUAAUAUUUAUUAAUUAAAUAGGUACCGCACCGUAUUGUCAUUCUUUUAAAGGGCCCUAUGAUCUAUCCAUCAUAUAUCAUAUUCAUUUUUGAGAUGUAAAUUGUGAAGCAACUAAUUUGGUAUGUUUGGAAACAUAACAUAAUGUCCACCCACGCAUGCUCCCACAUGACACCAAAUUAGUUUGUUUGUGGUGGUGGUGACCGAAGGAAAGCUUUUCUCACAUGGCUUCCCCACCUUCAUGAGAGAGAUUCAGAGAGAUCAGUAAAACCCCAGAAAAGGAAAUCAUAUUUCGUGGUCACAGUCAGGAACUUUAAGUAACAUGGUUGGUUUGUUGUAGAUCCUUGUUAGGCAACUGCUUAUUAUUUAAACCAAGUAUAACAUAGAGUCGUGGUUGUAGGCCUUUUCACAACGAGUGACGUUACAUGUACUACACUUACUGAAAGAUCGGAUCCUAAAAAAUAACUUAAUGAAAAAAGUUUUAAAUACAGCGAAACUAAACAAAAAAUGUAAUUUUAAACUAUCGUGUCGAACUGAGAACAGAAAAAGAAAAAGAAAAAGCUGCUGAAAAACAAUUUUAUGAUCACCAACUAAUUACAGAUCCCACCCAGGGAAAGUUGACAUGAAGAAUGUUUACAAAUCUUCAACAUUUUUCAAUUGAUUUUGCAACUUUUGCUCAGAGCCUUUUCUUCCCAGUCAAACCUUAGUCUUCAUGAAUUUAUUAUUUGGCACUGCCCUUGACUUGUUUGCACCAUACACCAUAGUCUUAUUUCAGAUUUUACAAGCAUGCCCAUCUCUGAGAGCUCUCCAUUCAAGAGCGGAUAUAUUCAUCAUAGGUGCUCAGUUGGAGCCUGGACAAGGGCUGAGGGUCAUAGCAGAUAGACAACCAUCACCGCAAAGUUCAUUAAUCAGAAUAAAAUAAUGAGUAUGAUUUGAAGGAAAACAUCAGCGAAAAGACAUUUCCAUUCCCAACAAAGCCAACGUCAUAUAGAUUUUUUCAGUUUCAGGGUGUGAUACGUCACCAGCAACAAACACAUGAAGUUCUUCUCCGAUUUGAACCCAACUGCAUCCCGGAAUCUUUCUCAAGCCCCUUUCUUUCAUUAACUGCCUCACCUUUGUUACCUCAUCCCAUCUUCCUGCAGCUGCAUAUGCAUUUGACAUUGCUAUAUAGUUACCAGAAUUGUCUGGCUGUAAUUUCAGUAAUUGAUUGGAUAAAUAUUCCUCUAGUUCUAUUUUAUUGUGUUCUCUACAAGCAGCAAGUAAUGAUCCCAACAUUUGUGCAUCAGGCUUGUAUGGCAUCGUGCCAACAAGCCUAAAAGCUUCAUCCAAAUUGCCACACCGAGAAAGAAGAUUAACCACACAGCCAUAAUGCUCUAUACUUGGAUUUAUAUUGUGAUUGGAUACCAUAUCAAAGAAAAGCUCCAAACCUUCAUUCACCAUCAUGGCAUGGCUGCACGCAUAUAAGGCAUUAGUAAAGGUUAUAUUAUCUGGUUUUACACCUUCUUCCUUUAAGCCUUGAUAUAGUGCAAGAGCUUCCACAGCUUGACCAUGUAACGCAUAACUGGAAAUCAUUGCAUUAUAGACAGGCAACUCCUUGUGUUCAAUCAUAUCGAACACCCUCUUUGCUUGAUCCAUAUUACCACAUUUAGCAUACAUAUCCACUAAAGAGGUUGCAAUUGGAAUUGAAGUGUAGAGGGAAUGCCUUAUCAAAUACCCAUGUAAGGCUCUUCCAUUCUGCAACGAUGCCAUAUUUAUGCAAGCCAAUAGUACACCAAUAAUGCUCACAACAUUGGGUUUAAUUCCAGCUUCCUGCAUCUGCUGGAAUGUCAGAAUCGCUUCGUAGCCAAAACCACUCUUAGCCAAACCAGAGAUCAGUGUAGUCCAAGUGACCAGGUUAGGCUGGACUCCAAGGGACUGCAUCUGCCAAAACAUAUCUUUAGCCUCGUUGACUUGGCCAUUUUUCAGAAAACCUAAAAUCAGAGAGUUCCAUGAUAUCACAUUUGGUGGCACACUUUCUAGCUGCAUUUGAUAGAACAUUUUCAAGGCCUCACCACUAUGACCCAAUUCUGCAAAAGCAGCCAGCAUUGUGUUCCACAGCACAAGAUCUCUUAUAAAUGAAGAGUUGAAAACUUGUUUUGCACAAUCGAUUUUCUCACAUUUGGCAUACAUGUCUACAAUGCUACUCACAACAACCACGUCGGAUUCAAGGUUGUUCCUUAUAGAAUAGCAAUGUCCCACCUUACCAAAUUUCAAACUUCGUGUAUCUGCAAAAGCAGACAUUAAGGUUGCAAGAGUCACAGAGUCAAAACUCAAGUUUUCAAGUCUCAUUAGGCGGCAAACAUUGAGUGCUUUGUCAACCUCCCCCACUUGCACAUACCCAGAUAUGAGCAAAUUCCAUGUGACCACAUCUUUCUCAGGCAUCUUGCUAAAAACCAUUUCAGCAUCCUCAAUCAAACCAACCUUGGAAUAAAAGUUAAUAAGAGAACUGCCCAAAUUGGUAUUUAGUUCUAAUCCACAAACAACUGCUAGUGCAUGUCCAUGUUUACCCUCUUGUAAUGCACCUAAAUUAGCUGAAGCAGAAAGUAAGCUCGAUACCGUAACGUGAGUGGGUUCAACACCUGCCUCCCUCAUCUCAUAAAACACCUUAAUAGCUUCCUCAUUCAAACCAUUUUGUACAUAACCCACAAUCACCGAAUUCCAAGUGACUACAUUUCUUUCAGGCAUACCAUCAAAAACCUUCCUUGCAUCUUCUACAACCCCACAUUUUCCAUACAUAUCCACAAGACUAGUAGCAACAAAGACACACCCACUACAACCCAACUUCACCACAUACCCAUGAACCCCUUUCCCAAUCCCAAUCCACUCUAAAGCACCACAAGCCUUCAAUACAUUUGGAAGAACAAAAUUAUCAGGCAACAAUCCAUUUUCUUGCAUUUCCCUAAAACCUAGCAAAGCCUCUUGAUAGAAACCCAUCCUACAAUUCAAUCCAAUAACCGCAGCCCACGAAAAAACGUUUUUUAAUCUUACCAUUCGGAACAAACGAUUUGAAGCCUCCGGAACAUCGCAUUUUGCAUAGAAAAUCACCAACUUGGUUUCAAUGUACUCAUUUAUUGCAAAGAUGCCACCUUUCUUUAUAAUCCGAGCGUGAAUUUGCUUACCCGUAUGAAGAGCUCGCUCGUAGACACACCCCUGAAGGAGCUCGCCGUAAAUUUCAGGGCCAACUUGGAGGUUUUUGAGUUCCAUCUCAACGAACAAGUCCACAGCCUGUUGAAUUUGGCCUUGUUUGCACAGAGAGGACAUGUGGCUAAAGUAAGACUGGUACAAGAUUUGAUGGGUUUUUGCAUUUUCUUGAAGUUUUGUAAAAUGGGCUUGUGACUGUUUGUGGAAUUCAAUCGGAAUAGACUGUUUGGAAAGUGAGAGUUGUGGGUUUGGAAUUGUGGUGUACGGUAGAGAAGCCAUGGCCAGGCAUGAAGCAGAGGAAACAAGAGGAGGAUAUGGUUGGUCGUUGCAACACGAAGCGGGAAAGGGCAUUAUCGUCAAUACGGACAUUAUUAACUUGGGCCUUAGAUGAACCUGGGCUUCAAUCAUGAUGGUCUCUUGGCCCAUAAUCUCGACAUAGGCUUCUCUUUUUUCACUUUAUUUUUUAUUUAUGAGAAAAUUUGUUGGGAAUGAAGAAGCUAUAUUUUGUGAAUUUUUAGGGCAAUUUUAAAUGAAUUGAUUUUUUUAACCCAGAUUUUGAUUUAUAUAUAUAUAUAUAUGUAGAUUAUGAAGAACAAUAGAUAUUUUACAACUUGUGGUGAUGCAUAUACCUCUACGUGCACAUUUUCUUUUACCAAAGGAAAGAAAUUGAUAGAAUGCUUUGUGAUGAAUCUUAAGACAACAAUAGGUCAACAGCAUAUAUAAUAUAUAUUUAAGAUAUAUGUUCCAAAUUCGUGUCUUCAUAGACACUCUAAGUGUGCCUUUUUUUUGUAUUUAUUAUUAUUAUUAAGUAGUUCAUGUCUUUUGCUAAGAGGCCGACCAAAGGGAUUCUAAUUCCAUACUCCACUCUCUCAUGCUUAUUCAGAUGCCUUAUGCACUCACUCCAUAAUAUUUUUGGUCAAGACUCCUACUUCUUUAGAAGGGCAGAGGUGGUUUGGAGCAAUUGCUUUCAUAUGAGGAAAGGUUAUGCGUUCGAGUUAUAGCAUCCGAAUAGUGUGUGUGUGAGUUUGGUAUAUUAUCGACCCUCUCAAUAAGGAAGGUUCUCUUAAUUUAUAUUCAGUUUUUUUAAAGGAAAAGAAUUUUCCUUCUUAGAGUAAGAGUAGUACUUUGUGAUUGACACUGAGAAAUUAGCAGAGAAUUUAGUAUAUAUAUAUAUAUAUAUAUAUAUAUAUAUAUCCACCAGCUAGCUCGCAAUAAUGAAUAAAUUAUGAAAUUCUGAUGCCAAAAAGAAGUGGAAUUAUUAGAGAAUUUAGUAGAACAAUCCAUUUAUCAUCAGAAAUAUUUAGUUCGUGAUUCUCAUUGACAAACCUUACAGCCCGUAAAUGUACCUUUCAUUGCCUUUCCGCAAAGUUAAUUAUACAAUUAAGAAUAUUUCAUAUAAAGCUCAUUCGUUUCUUUUUAUUUUUAUAAAUAUUAUUUUCGGCCUCCAAUUUGAAACAAGUUGAAGAAGCAACUUUGAAUUUAUAUAUAUAUAUAUAUAUAUAUAUAUACAGAGAGCUUCCAUUGAGUGAUCCCUUAAAUAAGCUUAUUUGAGGGACACCCCUUGUAGGCCCCACUCCGGAUUGUAUUUCACUAAUCCAAACCGUCUAUUUUGUAGAUACUCAUUCAAAGAUUAUCCCUACAAAAAAUCACUUGAAUCCGAUAUCAUUUGACCACUCAAUUAAGUUAUUGAAAUUUUAGCAUUUUCUUGAAGUACCGUGUUCAUUGAUUUUGUAAGACACAAUUGGAUGUCGAAACUGUUUCCGAUUUGUCUAAUUUUUUGUAAGGAUGAUCUAUGAAUGAAGACCUAAAAAAUAGAUGGUUUGGAUCAUUGGGAAAAAAAUUGUAGGAUACCCUAAAGGGCGUCCCUCAAUAGAAGGGGACUGUAUAUAUAUAUAUAUAUAUCUCUUAUAUGCCAUAUAUAAUUAGUUAGUUCCUGAAAAAUAAAGUAGAUUUAGAUGAAUUAGUGGAUAGAUAUAGAAUGGAAUAGAAUCUGACAUUUUCGUAAUAUUCCUGUUUCAAACUAGACUUUUGGUCAUGCUGAGGAGAAAGACUAAUUAGGACUCCAUCCUUGUCGUAUUUUAAAGCAUAUACUAAAUCAGUAGGAUUUUAUUUAAAAUGUACUUAAUAUAUUAAUUUGUUACAUGAUAUAGUACACAUGGCACCUUUCAGUUGGUAGUGAGAUGAAUUUUCUUAUAUCGUUUAGGUUGGAGCUAGCGUUCCCAUAGUUUGAAAAUGUUAAAAUUAGUAUAUAGGUAUUCUCUCAUCCGCAUGUUCGCAUGUUAUUAUCGUGUAGAUGUUAUUGUAAAGAGGAAUAAAGCAAAAAUUAGUAGUAGAAAAUACAUGACGUCCGCACGAUAAUAAUAUCCGGAUGUCUACAUAAGAUAAUUUCUGUAUAUAUAUAUAUAUAUAUGUUCUUCAAAAAAUACAUUUAAUUCUUUUCAAAAAAACAAAAAAAGGAACAUUUGGAUUCUUGACAUUAUGAUCAUAUACAGCAGCAUCUGAGGCCUUUUAAUUAUCAAUGAACAUACCAUGGGAAAAGUUGAGCCUUGGACUAGUGGAGAGGGAAUUUCUGUGACAAAAUAGUGGUCCUAACCUAAUAACUGGGCUUUUCCCAGUAAAGUUGAUGUCCGAACGCUUGUGAUAAAUAUAAGAUAGGCUAUUCGGGGGAUCUCACUUUUGGCCCAUGUGAAACCCAUUGUAAUUUCUAAGCAUCAAAAGCUCAAAAACAACAAGGAAUUAGAAGACCGAUGCAUUAUAUGCCAACACAACAACGACUAAGGUUCCAUUCUGUUUUAGACCAGGGCCAUGCAUGCGCAUGCAUAAAUAAAUAAUCAUGUAUUUUAUGUUUUUUAUCUCUCUUCUCACGUGACAUAACAUAACACGACUAAAGGAAAAUGGAUGCAUGAAGUUGGGAUAAAGAGAUAUCUCUCUGCAAUUACGUUGUGUCAUUUGGUUAGAUAGAAACAAAGUGGAGUAGAGCCUAGUAGGACUAGGGUGUAGGCAUUACAUGGAUUUCAGCAAAAAUGAGGGGCCAAUUGCAAUUGGGGCAGGCAGAGCUUUCUUUAGCACCUCGGUUUCUGUUUUGAACACAAAUUUUAAUGUUGGGUGUAGCCUGUAAAAUUGUCAUGCAAUUCAUAAUUGGAAAACGGGAAAGGAAAAGGAAAAGGGAAUAUUCCUUUAUUUUUGCGCCAGACAAAAGGGAUAUUCAGAAGGACGAUAUGGUGGAAUAUCACGACACGUGUCACGAGGAGAAUCUCUUUCCUUUGAUUUCUUUUCCUUUACUUCCCAUUGGAAAAGAACAACAAAAACAAAAAAGAAAGAAAGAAAUGAAGAAUGAGAGGGAGAUAGAGAGAAUCUGCAGAAAAGGUUUGGGUUGGAGUAUUGUACGAGAAGACUGAUUUUAGAAAGCGACCAACCAUCAUUAUUAUUGGACAUCUCUAUCUCUCUCCCUUUGUCUUUGUCUUUGUAACAGAUAAAAGAGAAUUCGAUGCAAAUGCAAUUUCAUAAAGGCCUCUCUCUCUCUCUCUCUCUCUCUCUCUCUCUCUCUCUCUGCGACUUUGUUCAUUCAGUAGAAAAGGUCUGCAUUGCAUAUAUCUGGUUUUGCCUGAAAAUGGUGCUGGGAUCGAUAUUGGACUGAACAAUUUUUCAUUGUUUAGUUGCAUGCAUGUCAUGCCAUCAACCUAGGUCAUGCGAUCCUAAUGUUUUGGAGGCCCUAGAUAGAUGAAUCACAAAAAUGUGACAUUCGACCUUCUAUGUACAUUCAUUCGUGCUAUUUAUUGUUACCACAAGAAUUUUGAGAAAAAUAUUAUAUAAAUUCAAAAUUAAGAUUGUAAGUUUUUUUAUAAAAAAAACAACAAACAUCAUAUGUAUUCAUAUUGUACACAACAAGAAAGGGAUAAAACAAACUUUUUACUCAAAUUCUAGUAUAAUAAUACAUAUUUACUUACACACAUGCACCAAAAAAGUCUUCGGAAUUGUGAAUCUUGACUGAAAAUGAAAAUUCAAGACUAAUUUCCCCAAAAAAUAAUGCUUGAAAUUCAAAACUAAAAGAAAUCAUCAAUCAUCAUACUUGGAAUUCUUUUUCAGAUUUCAAACAUAUGAAAUUGAGCUCAAUGCAUUUUAUUUCUUAAUUUUAUUCAAAUAUGUUAAUUAGCUUAGACUAUGAAUUUAUUGAAUAAGUGGGUUUUUUUUCUUCGAGCUGAGCUCUUCUUAAAUUUGGAUUGAAUUAUUGGGCAUAACAUAAUUUUUAUAUCUAGAGUUGGGGUAUUAUAUAUAGUGACAUACUAGUUAUAUGUAGGGAUUUAUAUAAAUUGGAGGCCUUAGACGAUCGCUUUGCUAGUACUCAAGAAAUUAUGACAUAAUAUAUUAAAAAAUCGUGGUUACGUUACUCUUAUGAAAUAUUUAUUUCAAGUUUUAAUAGUUUACUAUACACUAUUGGUAUGCAUCUUUAUCAUUUUUUUUUACAAUGCAUUAGUCUUGAGGGUGAAGUCUUAUCUCUCCCUUUUUCAUUAGUACUUGAAAAGUUUAAGUUCUCUUUUCACGAGUUGUAAUCCAUUAUUAGCAGUUGAAUAAUCAGAAAAAUCCUUAUAGAUACUUUUUUUUUCUUCUUCCUAAUAAAAAGGACAUAGUCUAAUUAAGAGCUAUAAAUCGAAGUGGGUAUUUCUUAUCCAGAACCUAUUUGAUUUUUGAGCUAAAGCUCUCAAAAUAAUAUAUAUUUAUAUUCAUUCAAAGGCGAAUCGGGAUUAAUUGUUAUGGAGGUUCAGAACCCUAGGAAAAUUCCCCUAAAUUUUUUUUUUUUUAAAAAAAAGAAUCUUCUUACCUUCCAACCCACUUCAUUAAAGCGAGUAGCAGAAGAAGAUUCCCUUCUCUUAGGCUCCUUUAUUAUUCUUUUUUGGGGUGGUAAUGGUUUUUCAAUUUCCCUUUAAGCUUUGUGGGUUUUGUUCCCUUAAUUUAGAGUCGUAGAAUUGGAACGAAGAUAUUCCUUUCCUUGGAGGCAAAUAUUAUAUUCUUUAACAUGAAUGUUUCAUCUUUUUAUAUUAGAUAUUCCCUCUCUCUCUCUCUCUCUCUCUCUCUGAAUGCACUCAAUUUCACUGCAAUUAUGCAACUUUUGAAACCAAAAAGAAAGUUGCAUGCAGCAUGGUGCAUGGAAUAAUGAUACUAAUCCCAUUUGAAGAUGUCCUCCUUUUCCUCUCUUUCGAUUUUUUUCUCCAAUUCCAAUUCCAAUUCCAAUUCGGUGGUAAUGGGGUAAUGGCUAAUGGUAAAGAAAGAAAAUUAAUAUAUGGAUCAUGGAUCAUGGAGGAUGGAGGAUGGAUGAUAGUAUAUGCUCCUCCCAAGGCUUUUUCAUUCAUAAUAAAUAUUUAAUCAUCCUAGAAUCAUGAAUACAUAAUAUUAUUAGUUAAUUAUUAUAUGAAUGGGUAUAUAUUUGGUAAGGGUACCCUCAAGUACUACUUGGCCGUACACGUGUCCGAUAUCUGCAAUCUGGCUACUGCUUUGGACUACAGCUUUCUUGUGGUUAGACUUUCGAUGUGAUAUACGUACAUCACAAGUCACAACCAACCAUGGAAUUCCCACCAUUCUUUUUGACCCUUUAUAUUUUGUGGACUGCUAAUAUUUUUCACUGUUCAAUAUAAACAUAUAUAUAUAUAUUAUCACAUUUCUUACAUAUUUUGGGUCACCAAUAUCUAAUCUGUUAAACAAAUUUGCUCAAAAUUAAUAUAGCUCUAUUAAUAAUUAGUAACUGAUGUGGAUGAUGAUGUUGUAGCUGGCUAAGAGGUUUUCAUCUGAACCAUCCCAGUUACAUGUCAAAAGCCAUGCAUGUGUAUCUCAUACUAAAUCAAAUGCAACAUAUAUAUAUAUAUAUAUAUAGUAAUGAAAAUUUUGUAGGAUAAGCUUAAAAUUCAAUACAUAAGAACAUAUGAAUAUAUAGGUUUAAUUUUGGCUUGACAGAAUAAUAAGUUCAUAGCUGAGUACGAUUCGAAGGACCAAAGAAAAGUAAGGAAAUAAUUAUUAAAAAGAGAAAGGGGAAAAAAAGGCACAGCAGUAAGAAGAAGAAUCAUCUUUUAUUUUGGUGAAUUUGAAUUCGUACAGACUAGAGAGAGAGAGAGAGAGAAUUAAGUUGAAACAAAGGCUCUAAGCACAUGACCCCUCUUGUGUCAGACACCUUGAUUCCUUCUCCCACAGCCACAACCACAGCCAGAGAUAUCAGCGCAGAGAGAGAGAGAGAGAACCUCUCUCUCAUUUUUAGCUUUUCUUUGCCUUUGUUCUUUGCAAGAAGUUACCAUCCUUCUUUAUCCCCCUCCCCUCUUGCUUUAUUUUUCUUUUCUUCUCUCUCUCUCUCUCUCAAAUCCCCCCAGCUAGAGCUAGCAAGCCACUUUAUUCCCUUGAACUCACCCUAAAAAGAAGACGAUCAUACCUCGAUCCUCCUUGUGUUCACAAACCAACAUCCCUUCCCUUUCUCUCUCCCUCUCUUUCUCUCUCUAAGUUGAACCACCAUCCUAUCUAGAAAUUAGAAAGAGCCAAAGACCCUCUUUUGCUCUUGUUUGUUCCUACAUACCCUGUUGCUGUUGUUGUUGCUUGGGCGUCAACAUUUUCUAAUAAAAACAGUAGCUAGUUUUAUGAGCAGUUAGCAACCAAAGUUAGAUAUCCAAUAUCUCUUGUUUGCUUCUUGUUAUAUCCAUUUCUGAAUUUAUAAGCAAAUUAAUUGGUUAAUCAGUAAAUGGCAUCAUCGCCUUCGGAACUAAGCCUGGACUGCAAGCCCCACAGCUACUCCAUGCUCCUCAAAUCCUUUGGAGACCUGCAGGCUUCUCAUCACCAUGACCAGUCUCAGACUCAGAAGCUUGAAGAGUUCCUCUCCCGCCUUGAAGAAGAACGUCUCAAGAUUGAUGCUUUCAAGCGCGAGCUCCCUCUUUCCAUGCAACUCCUCACCACUGGUACAUACAUCAUCAUCAUCUAGCAUGCAGCCUCAAUUUGGAUAUUCAUGUUACUUAAUUUCCUCCAAGUUUUAAUUAAUUAGCACUACCUCCCAACCCUUUACUUCUUUAUCCCUUUUUCAUUUAUAGAAGGGAGAGAUUGUAGCUUUCUGUUUCUCUAUGGGUCCAAAGUAGCUACUUAUUCAUAUCCAACAUAUUUUCUAAAGAAACUAAAGCCACCAUAUAUGGCAAAAAGAAUUAGGAUAUAUGAAUAUAAAGAUCAUAAAGACAACAUAUAAGAUAUUAAAAUAUAUUUACAUAUAGCAGAAAUCUAUACAGAAACUCAGGGUGAUUUGCUUAAUUUAUUUUGGGUACCAGAAUAUCUUGUUUUUCUCCAUUAUGUACUAAUCAUCAAGAUUGCAAUUCCAGCGGUGGAGGCUUCAAGGCAGCAGCUUCAAGCUUACAGAGCAAAUAUUCAAGGGCCAAAUAGGCCAGUGCUUGAAGAAUUCAUACCCCUUAAACAUUCACCCACUGAAGGCUCAGAAAAAACUACAAACACCACUUCUGAUAAGGCAAAUUGGAUGACCUCUGCCCAACUGUGGAGCCAAGCAAGUGAUCAUAUCAAUGCAACCAAACCCCAGUCCAUAACAUCCCCAAAAGAAACCGAUAUCGGCUUUAGUGUCAGCCCCAAGCUCGGCUUAGACGCCAAGCAGCACAGAUCCUAUGGAGGAGGAGCUUUCCAUCCAUUUUCCAAAGACCGCAACUCUUGCCCAAGCCCAACUUUGCGGCCUCUCCCAGAGCUGGCUCUUGCCUCCCCAGAGAACAACAAGGCAGCAGAGAUGUUAAUGGAGGACAAGAUCAUCAAGUCAUGUAAUAAUUCCGAGACCACCCAUGAGAAUGGAAUGAUUAAUUCAUCAGCUAAUAAUGGCAAUUGUAGUGAACAAGCUAAAUUAUUAGCAACCGGUGGAAUUAAUAAUUCAAAUAUAUCAGAGGGGCAAACACAGACAACAACAACCACAACCACCAACAAUCAAUCUCAAUCUCAAACUCAUAGGAAGGCAAGGAGGUGUUGGUCUCCUGACUUGCACCGGCGGUUCGUUAAUGCCCUUCAAAUGCUUGGUGGUUCUCAAGGUAUUAAUUAUUAAUUUGCUAUUUAUUUAUUUUUAUAUGUAAUAUAAUCAUAUGGAUUUGAUGUUUACGUACGUACGUUUUUGUUUUGGUCAAUUUGACAGUGGCGACCCCGAAACAGAUCAGAGAGCUGAUGAAGGUUGACGGUUUGACCAACGAUGAAGUUAAAAGCCAUCUGCAGGUACCUUAUCCUACUGCACCUACAAAUGAUAUUAUGUCUCUCUCUUUUUCUGAUACAUGCAGCCUUUGCAGCCAGGCACUGGCAGGCAUGAAACGUUUGAUAUGCAUACAUAUCCUCUUUGCUUUGCUUCCCUUUGUCUUGUCCUUAUUAUAUAUAAUAUAAAUAACAUUUCCUUGUUCCUUUUCUUUUUGUUUCAAAUUCUUAUCACAGAAGUACAGGCUCCACACAAGACGACCAAGCCCUAGCCCACAAGCAGCCGGAGGCCCAACGCCACAACUGGUAGUCCUAGGUGGCAUCUGGGUCCCGCCAGAGUAUGCCAACGCGGCACACAAUGGCCCCACAGCCCUUUACAGCCCACACCCUGGCUCCCAUGCACCAACCCACUACUGUGCAACCCCAAUGCCCCAAGACUUCUACACCACGCAGCCACCGCAGCAAUUGCACCACCACACCCUCCACCACCAGCUCCACGUGUACAGGGCUUCCACUACCUCCAACACUCACAGCUCCCCCGAGUCCGAUGGCCACGGUGCCUGCGGACGGUCGGAGAGCAUCGAAGAUGGCAAGUCCGACAGCAGCAGCUGGAAGGGUGCAGAGAGCGGUGGUGAUCAGAUGAACGGAGGAGAUCAUAGAAAAGGAGGGGUGGCUUCGAGGAGAUCAGAAGACGCUGAGGACAGUAAUGGCAGUCAGAUCACGCUCAAGUUCUGACCUUGUGGUGGUCAGGGCAUGAGGGUUUCUUAGUUAUCAAAGGUUUUGGGUUAGGGUUAGGGUUAGGACUAAUUAAAAAUUAGGGCUACCAUUUGUAUGUUUGCAUGCGCUAAUCCUGUGUAAUUCUCAAUUUAUCAUUAUUCAUGUGAUAUGAUAUAUUAUUAUAUCGACCGUGUGAGUUUUAGUUUUAGGGUCUUUAGAGAGGGUAAAAACGUCAUAACGGGAAAAGUGAGUGUUUGUUUUAUUUUCCUUUUCUUUUUCCUUUAGAUUGAUUCUAUUUGAAGGAAUAAUUCACAUCUAUAAAAAUGUGCUUUCCACCGUGAAUUACUGACUACUGUACAACAUGAAGGUCCUUCGAUCCUAUUUCUUUUUUCACCCAAAAUUAAGAAGGAGAAGGGAUUUUCUCACACAUUGUCCAGUUUAUGUUCUCUACCUUUUUGUCAAAAUUAGGAAAGAGAACGAAGUUUUCUCACACGCAUUACCAGAGUGCCAUGGAAUUCGAAUCCUAAUUCAAAAUGUAAAACCAUGUGCUACUCGAGCUUUUUAUGGGGCUUUGGCCGUCCUUGGUACCAAAGAAAAAAACGAAUUUUUGAGCUUAUUGCUUCAAAUAAGUCUAAUAAGAGAAGGAAACUUGUCGGAUUAACUAAGAAGCAUGUGUUGUGCUACUUUAAAAACUUAGGUCGCGAAAGAAGAGGUACCGAAAGUGUGUGCCUGACUCAGAUUUCUUUCCACCCUAAUCUCUCGUCAGAGGCUUUUUUCACAAAAACACAUAACGGGCACUUUAUUAAUGGCCUUUUUCUUUCUGUUGCUUUGCUUUAAGCAAUUCAGAGGAAGAGGAAGAGGGUUACAUGUUAGCAUUGCCAUCACCGUCUUCUCAUCGUCGGCGCUAAAGUGCACACCAGAAAACAUGAUGUAGAAUAUAAUACAUCUCAGAUAAAAUAAGCUGUUUCUCAGCUGACUUUGGAGUAAAUAUCUACAAAAGCUUCAAAUCCCCCACCUCAAAACAAUAUACAGUAUACGUUAAGUUCUAUUACAGAUCACUCCUUCUUUCGAGGUUCAACAUGACAUCAUGUAUUGCCAAUUGUCAAGAUUCCGUCCCUUAAGUCAACCUCAUCUUCCAACAUUUCUGUAUCAACGAGCGACUGCAAGCAAAAUGGUUUAUACAUUACGUUCUGUCACUAAAUCACCCUCCCAUCGCAAUCUAAUGAUCCAAAUAUAGAUAUGGAAGUUUUGCAUUAGAUACAUAACAUCAAAAGAGGGUUUGAGAUCUUAGAGGACCAAACUUUGGGCUUCCCAUUUGACAACAGCAUAAAUUGGCCCAACUCCAGUCAAAAGAGAUCCAGACGAAAGAAAGCAAACAGCCAGGUUAUUCGACUUCAAUUCACAGAUAUUAAUAAAGGAAAAUGUUCUUUCCCAUUUGCAAUUUUCUUUAAAUGGCUCAUUUCUUUACUCAUUUGUAACCAUCAAUAACAAGGUAAUGUAUCAGCAUUGUUUUUCUGUACAAGCUUAAGAGGAGAGAAGACACCAACCUGAAGUUCGUGUUCACAGCUUUUAAGUUUUUCAGUGUAAUCUUUUACUUGCAUAAAGGAUUUAUGUAGCUGCAUAUAAAAACAUUAACUCCAAUCAGUGUCCAGUACAGUUUAUUCGCAACCAGCCUUAGCAAUUGAAAAUACCUUGGUUAAUUUCAUCUUAUUGUGUGAAGAGUUCUUCUUUGCAUUUAUCAAUGCAUCCUCCAAUUUCUGCAUAAACAAAUUCUCAGCAGGACAUGAACCAAGUUUAGCAUGUGAAAUCAGAAGACUUGGAAUAAAGACAUGCAUGCAGAUCAAAGUACAAUCAGGGGUACCUUAGAUUUCUUCUGCAAAUCCAAAACUAGUUUUCCUUUCUCUUUCAAACUCUCCUCCAUCUGAAUAGUCUGACAACAUAUAAUGAAAAUUAGUGUCCCCUAAAAAUUUCAUUAUGACUUUCAUGCAGGUCAAAUGCAAGAAAUAAUGUUGAACUACCAGAAAACGUGCCUCUUGCUUAUUGGUAUCAGAAAAUCUAUACGAUGCCAACAUAGGUCUUUAUGAAUAAUUUCAGUCAGACAAAUAAAGGUAUAGGCAUUGCUUUAUUUACUCAAAUUCUUUAAGGGAAGACAGACCUCCUUUUUUAUUUCUUCAAGCCUUCGCAUGGAUCUCUCGAGCUGUUCUUUUACCUAAUAUUUUUAACAGAAGAAAAUGCAAGCAAAAAAGUAUUUUAAUUAAGAUGACACAAACUUAUAUAUGUAUGGCACUAUCUUAGCAAGAAAAGCUAAAAAUGCCGAACUUGCCUGAUCAUCGUAAUCAUCACUGGGAUGGGAUAACAGGUCCCUACUUUGUCGGUCAACAGAAUUUGAACUGCAGGAAAAAAAAAACAGAACAUCAUGAAAAACGACAGAAUCUAAACUGCAGAAAAGAAACCAGAACAUAAGAGGACCCUUAUGUGAUUCAUCAUAUCUUUCUUUCUCUUGAUCAUCUCCCAAGAAACACAAUUGAUACUGAAAUACAAAAAGAUCAACGUGGCCACAACGUUUAUGCAGAUGUCAUAUUCAACUCCUAAAAGCAUUUGGGACUCUGUCAUCUAGUAAUCGAGAUAGGAUAUGUAUUUUCUAGAAGUCAACGUGCAACUACAUACAAGUAUCAAUUAUUCCGCAUGUUGUUAAAUGAAAGGCUAACCAGCAUACUCACGAUCAAGUUAAAAGGAUGCAACAAUUAAAACUUUGACUUAUAAAAUACAAAAGAACGUAAUCUAUGUAUGCAAAAUGUUAACAACUGUGCAAUUUAAAUAUGAAGUCCAGUUCCACCCUUAUCCUCUGACAGGUGAUUAAUGCCAAACAACAAUUAGAAACAAGAAGGGCAUCUUACCUGUUCCUUCUCCUUGAAUGUUGAUCUCUAUCCUUGGCAGCUAUAGUAGUAUGAUUUUUGUUUUUUUCCAUCUCCCUAUCUCUGUCAGAGUCCAAUGCUCGAUCUCUUUCCCAACCCUGAUCAUGGUUCCUGCUCUGUCCUUGCUCGGCAUCUUCCAAAUCUCUGUCUUGAUGACGGUCUCUAUCCAAGAAAUCAUAAUCACGUUCACGGUCAUACCCUCUAUCCCUUUCUUGAUCAACCCCAAGGGACCGGCCACGGUCACGUUCUCUUGAUCGAUCACUGUGCUCUCUCGACCGAUCACUGUAUCGAUCCUUAUACCGGUCUCUAUCAUGAUCAUACUCCCUCUCAUGAUCUCUAUCUCUAUCCCAGUUCCUGCCCCUCUCAACAUUCCGUCCAAAACCUUCUCUGUCUCUACCAAAACCCAAUCUUCCACCUCUAGUCCUCACUUCAUUUACUCUGAUAACUCUUCCAUCAACAGUCUAAUUCAAAGCUCAACAAUGUCACUCAAGAUUUUAAGAAAACAAACCGAUCACAGACACCAUAAAUGUUCAAGUAUAAACUUAAAUGAAUAAAACAUACCCUGCCAUCCAUCUCAUUGAUGGCAUGAAUUGCAGACCGAGGGUUCCUGAAAGUAACAAAGCCAUAGCAUUUUCCUCUGGUCGAAGCAUCAUUGAUAAUCUGUAAAUUGAAGAAUUGAAGAAGCAGCAGAUGAGGGAAAGAAAACCUAAAUGCUUAAAACCCUACAAAGUAAAAUGGACCAAAAAAAAGAAGAAGGAAAAGUAGCGGGAGUGACCUUAACGGCAAUGACGGAACCGUACAACUCAAAAACUCUGCGAACUCUAUCCUCGGUGGCGUCGUACGGAAGGCCUCCAACGUAGACGGAGCUCUCGUCGUCUAUCGUCAUCUCCCUCACUCGCCUCUCUCCCAGUUCUUCUCAAUAGUUUUCCUAUUAUUUUGUUUUCUUUACCAAAUAACAAACGACAUGUAGUGCACUGUGCAGUUCCCAGAAAAGAAUGUGUCGUUUGAACUUUGGACCCAAUGGCCACCCCCCACUGGGCCUUGCCCAAUAAAAAAAAAAGACACCCUCAAUGUGGACUUUCAAAACAAGAUGGAUUUGACAUCGGCCUGCCCAAUCAGAUUAAACGACACCCUCAAUGUUCAAUUUUCAAAAUAAGAUGGAUUUCUAUUGAGAUUUGCAUGGGGAAUUGUUAAAAAUUAACAUUAUUGUUGGAAUGAUAAUGACUAUUUGGUUUGGAAUUGUGGAAAUGAUUCAUUUAAAUGUAAGUUAGGUUAGUUAGUUGUGACGGUGUACAUAUCUCAUUGCACUCAAAUUUGAGUCCGUGCUCAUAUAAACUAGACUACUUUAAGAAAGUUUAGAGAAAAAAAAGUACUGUCUAUCAUAAAUCAGGCGGUCCACAUCAAGGACAAUUCGUUGAUGGGCCCACACGUUGAUGACUGAUAAUCUAUCAUGUGGCUGUUUAAAUUCAAGAGUUGUCCUCCUCCUUGCUUACCCAAAAAAUUGACCUAAGAAAGAAAGAAAGAAAUAUUGAUUUACAGAAAGGGAGGUUAUAUCGUUGUCAACACGUGGGAGGUAACUGACACGUGAAUAUGCUACCUCUCCCUCUCCCUCUCCCUCUCCCUCUCCCUCUCCCUCUCAGAUCAGUCAGCCCCCUGGCUUUUUGGGUUGCGUCGUGGUGAUGGUGGUCCUUUUUCAAAAGAAAUUCAAUGUGGGCCACUUGGGGCCACUUCCUCCAACUUGCUCUGCCCCUGCCUCUUCCGUAACGGGAUCACGUGAAAACCUUAAAAACAGGCCAAAGUGGUGGGCCUCUAAGGUUCCGGCCGACCCGCCCACCCGCUCCACCAACGCAACUUCUUCUUUAUAAUAAUAUUUCAUUUAUUUUUUCAAAUUCCACCCAAAUUAUAAAAUAUGUAGUAGCUCUAAUAAUAUUUAUAAAAGAUGGAAAAUUAGUUAACGCGGAUAUAGUCUAGUGAAAAAGAAUUUUGAUUUGCUGAUGAAUAGCUCAGAAUAUCAUUUGUAUUAUUUAUUUUUUUAUAAAAAAAGAAAAAGAAAUAAUAAUUCAGGUGUUGUAGAUGAGAGUUUACGCAGGAGAGGUGGCAAAAGGCAGAGGACAGUGGUGUCAUGUGGGAGGCAAUGUUGAGUCCCUCUUGAGUCAUUAUUACGUUAUUGGGUCGGGGUUCUGGGCCCCGUUAUGGUUUAGUGGGUUUUCCUUUUUCCAUACUUAGCAAAGCCACAUGCUCCCAUACGACAUAUGUACAUGAUUAAUUAAAAGUCACAAACUGUUGUUGUGCAGAAAUUGAAGAGUGAGUGAAUGCCAAGUUGCCAAUGGGGUCUCUCGAUCCCUGUCCUGUUGGUUUUGUUCAUGUACAUGCAUGAUGUAGCCGUAACCCAUCUCGAUCUCUCUUUUGAAAAUCACAAUCAAUGGCGAAGGUAAACAUGGUGUCUGCAUUUUUCUUGCUUUUUUACUUAAAAAGCUUUAUCACUGAUCUUCUUGCAAGCACGAUUCAAUAAUGGUUGCAUUGUUCAUGGGCCCAUCGUCCUACGUUUAUGUUUAGCGGUUCUCGGUCGGUUCUUUUGUUAAAAUGAAUGAACAUUUGAUCGAGUGACGCUUAAUCUUUGCUUCGUUAGAGGACCACUCACGUGGAGAGAUGAGCAUAACCCUUUUCCACAGGGUAGGUAAGGAGUUAAAUCCUGUAAUUAUGUACUGGUUGAAAGUGACUUUUUCUUUGAUGUUAGCGUCCGUUUGGUUUGAAAAAAAAAACCGAAUAAUUGAUUAUCAUUUCCCUUUUCUUUUUUUUUUAAUGGUUUUUUGAACUCGAAUCGGCACUUCAAAAACGAAAAUGGCCAGCCAGCCAGAGCCAGCCAGAGCCAGCCAUCAUCAUCAUCAUGAUUCAUGAUUAUCAAACAUAAUUAAAAUGCUCAAUCCAUUUAAUUAAUAUUUCCAUACUAGUUGGACGUCAACUUUCAAUCAUUAAAUUAAGAAAAUAAAAACUGGUUUAUAGAAAAUAAACUCGAGAGAUAAUAAUGCAGACGUUUACCAAACGCGUAGGAAGAAUUAUUAUCAGUGUUUGGUCGCAGGUAGCAGUCGAUGAUAUAUAGGGCUAGGCUAAGCUAGGCACAAAAUAGGCUGAGGGUAUCGUACUAUCGUGUAGAUUGGACCCUUUUAAACGGUUCCUAUUCCAUUAUGGUAAACGUCAGCUACCAGUGUGCUUUCCCUUUUCAAUUUCCAUUUCUUUUUUCUUUUUCCUUUCUCUACAAAAUCAAUCUUGGACGGCGCCAAGGCGUUGACUGCCUUCUAGACCAUCCAUAACAUGAACAUACUUUUUCCUAACACAUUCAUCACUCCAGUUAUGUCUUCCCUCAGUCCACAAGUUUAUUGGGAACCUGGGUUUUCUGUACAACCCAGCCAUUACAACUCAACCAAUACAAAUGAGAUGGUUGUUUCAGGAGAAUCAUGCGUCCAAGAUCUUCUUCCAUUCCUUUGUGACUGACACGCAUAAAUUAUAAAUCCUUGUUUUGACUUCAAAUUCCAUAACACAACAUCUCAAAUUCUUUCGUAAAAGAGUAACAUAUAAGAUCAAGGGUUAUAAAUUAAAUUAUUUUUUUUAGAAAGUAGUAAAAAAAUUGUACCUAAAAUAUUUAGAUAUAUUGUACCCCAUCCAUUAAGCAUUUCUGGAUCAUUAAAGCAGAACAUGAAAAAAAGAGCAAGAAACUCAUAAAAUUUAAAAUAAAAUUAAAAAGCUAAGGUGAAAUUUAGACAUGAUUGGCAUUAUUAUUCUGAUUAAUAACCCCAACCCGUUGGUUGGCUGUGGUUGCUUCAGCCGUAGGCAUGACUUGCCAAGCCGAAGCCGCGAUGAGAGGACGGCUGUGCCAGCCGAGAGUGAGGCACCCGUCGUUCUCUUCCACGCGGUAUCCUUCAGCCGAGAAAAGUGUCAGAAGCAUACUCGCCUGCUUGAAAGCAUUGGAACCCAAAUGCAGAGCCCUAAACCCGGCUUGUCCCAGCCGAGCCCUCCACUUCCCCAAAGGCUCAUGUCUCUCCACUCGAGCCGCGCCCUCACAGCACACCACGUUGCAUAUCUCCCUCUGUAUGUACAUCUCCGCCAAGGCCUUCUCCGGCUGCAUCGCGCAAGCCUCCAACGAGUCGAACAUGGUCGAGUAGUAGUACAAAGCCUCAGUGAAUCGGUCCAAGAACCCGGUUUUGUUGUGGUCCGCUUCCUGCUCCACAACCGUCACGAUCUUCGGGUUCAGGUUCCGGAUCCAGCCCAGCAUCAUCUCGAUUGGGGAAUUCCGGUUCGGGUCCGAUCCGAGAAGCCGAUGCAGCUGCAUGAUUGAGUUCACUGCCACAGCCUCCUUCGGGCUCACCUGCAGCAUCCACGGCUUCACAUCCUCGAGCCUCGAAGCCGCCACGCCGCGAAAGGCGAAACGGACGUUGACGGACCGAGCCAAUUCGGCCAGUCGAAGGCCGAUUUCUCUCAGCGAGUCUCGCCCGUCCGGCGAAGGCGGUCCAAUGCCCGUCAGUCGGAGCAAGGGGGGCCCACCGGGGCGUAGAGCCAGGGCCUGUAUAAGUGCCGGCCAUUGCAAGCCGUGCAUUAAGUUGAAGUCGAUGACGUGGACGCAAUCGUGACCCUGGAAGGCUUCCAGGAUGGCCUGAUUGGCGGUGAAGUGAGCGAAUUUGAGGUAAGGGCAGGCCUCGUAGAAGUAAUGGUAGAGGAGCUCGUUUUCGUGAGCCGAGGCGACGCUCUGGUGGGAGAAGAUUCGGCGGCUGAGGGCGUCGAUGAAGUAACCAGCGACCUUACCGAUGCCGCAGCUGGUGUUGACACGUGUGAGCAGAGUCUGCAUGUUCUCGAUCAGCGAGCCCGCCAACGCGAGAUCCCCACGCUGGACGGAUUCGGCGCACGUGACGAGCAAGUGGACGAGCCUUAUCCCGGAAUCUUCUUCCAUAGCCGUGACGACGGUGAGCUGGUGCUGCUGCUGCUGAGGCGGCGGAAGAGGUUCGGUCCAGGUGUCGUUGGGGAGGUCCGUUGGAUUGAUGAUGGCAUCAGGGAAGUCGAGAUCGGAUGGUAGGGAGAUAAGGGGCUGGUGGUUGAACUCGGAGAGGAGCGAGUCGACCCAGGUGGCGAGGUCGGAGGGGUUGUAGAGAACGGCGUCGGAGGCGAGCUGGGAAAGGUCGUUGGGGGAGUUGACCAUGACGGUCUCGAGGCGCUCGAGGCGCUGAGCGACAUGUCGUAGGUCGGAGGAGCGGACCUUGUAGCCGGCGUCGGCCAAAUAGCCAUCGAUCUCGGCGGGUGGUUUGGUGACGGAGGAGGAAGAAGAGGAGCUGGCGCUGCUGCUGACGCCGGAGCAAACGGUUGAACCGUAGGGCCCCAUAGAUAUAAUUGCAGGUGAGCUGAUCAAACUGAAGAGGAAUUGGGUGGGUGAGGAUGGAUUAGAUACGAGGUGGGUGUUUGUGGGUUUUGGUGUUCAUUUCCAUUUCCCUUUCCAUCAGGGAAGAGAGAGAGAGAGAGAGAGAGAGAGAGGGAGAGUGAGGAAGGAGUGAGCGAUGAGUGGAAAGAGAUGGAUGAAGAAAUAGGGCGGAAGUGAAAAAGAGAGAGGGGGGUUUUGAUACGGACGAGUAGGGAGGAAGAAGUAGUGUAGGACAGAGAUGACUGCUGACAUGUUCCUGUGGUCCACUACCCACCAACUGUAUAGUGUAUAUACUGCUUUGCUUCCUUUUUCCUUUUUCCUCUUUUACUUCCACUAUUUCUCAUGGAUUUGUUUUUCCUCUUUCAUUAUUUUAUUUGAUUUGGAGUAGUUGUGGCUGUAGCCUACUAGCCUCUAUGUUAAUGCUUAUUUCUUCAAGUAAAAUAAUUCAUUCAUAAUAAGUAAUCUAUGUUUUAUAUAAACAGCAUUUUAAAAAUGUAUCGUCCUCGUGUAAAUUAAAACAAAUUAUAUGUGUUAGAUCAGUUAGUCCGGCAAUGCAUUAUGCAUCUAUGCAUCUAUGCAUCUAUGUUCGAGUCUCAUUUUCUUAUUAAAUUAAUUUUAAAUAAUUUAAAUAAUUGCUUGUAUAAAUAUAAUUAUUUAUAAAUUACAAUUGAUAAAGUGCGUAAAAAAGUCAUACCAGUAAUAGUUGCUUUUAUAUUUUAUCUUAAAAUACGUAUAGACAUUUACAUGAAGAGAGGAGAUGAGAUGGGAGGAGAGUCCACAGUGCCGGCAGCAGGCAGGCAGGUAGGCAGGCAGGCACAAAAUAAGAGACUGAGUCAGUCAGGUGUCAACUUGGCUUCAACGUUUGCUCAUCUCAUGAAUCAAACUUUCCAUCCAUUCGAAGCUGAUCAAUUACUACGCAAUUUCGAAGCUGAUCAAUUACUACGAUUUCUCUGGUCUGGAAUAUUAUUAUUUUAAUACUAAACUAUUUGUGUGUAAUUUUCUACCAAAUCAUCUGAACUCUGUCUAAUUUCUUUAAUUUUCUUUUGAUUUGGUAUGAUCUCUUUGUUGAAUAAUAUACUUCUAUAAUCUAUACUUACAUUACAUGUGCUGAGUGAGUGAGUGAGUGAGUGAGUGCAGAGAAGAGGAGAGAAUAUAAUUAAGCAUCAUGAACCAAGAUUCGCUCUUCUUAAUUUGGUAUUAAUCAUAUAUUAAUUUAUUGUUAAGCAAAUCAUUUGAAUUUAAUUAAUUUUAUAAUCUCAAGUAAACAAACUACAAAGAAACUUAGGAAAGCAUAUGCGAGAUUAUGCUAGUUCGGCCAAAUUCGAAUCUCCCUCCACGUACUAGUAGUGAUUAACGUAAAGAGUAAUAUUAGCAGGGCUUGACCCUUGAAUUUGAUGUGAACAUAUAUAUUUAUUUCAAAUAGAUCUUUUCAUUCAACAUUAAUUAGCCCUCAAUGCCGAGUAUGAUGAUGACCUUAUGCUUAAUUAAUCGGAAUCCCCGGCUAGCUAUGAUUAUUACUACUGAUCCCCUAAUCCCUUGAUUGGUCAAAUCCACGAGCUGAUCUUCAAUUCAACCAUUAGCAAAUAGCAACCACUUGAAUCCUUUACUUAAUUAAAAUGAAUAGAUAGGUUUAAAAAAUCAUUUAUCUCUUAAUCUCCACAGAGUUAUUGAGUGUAUUGACAGUAACAGUUUGAGUUAAUAAUUAUUGACCCUCCUCGUCCUCUAUAAUUAAUUAAGGAUCCCUAAUGCUCUCUUAUGCAUAUAAUGACAUGAAUGAUUGGCUCCCACCCUGUAGAACCCAUCAACGGGACCACUUGAAUGUGAGAGGAGAUUAAAUAAUUUAGUUUGGCACCUUAGUUCGUUUUAUAUAUGCUUUUGUUUAUCUUAUCGAUAAAAUAUUAUCGUUCUUUUAUAAUUAAAAAAAUUAUAACUUUUUAUUCAUACAUGUUUAUAUUAAUCUUAGUCGCUUUAAAAAUGAUCCUUCAACACAUAAAGGGGACGUUAUGUGUGUUGCUUUAAACAUGAAUGAGUGAAGGGACCUGAUCAUCAAGCAGAUUGAGGGACUUAUUGAAUUUACCUAGCAAAAAAAUGUAUAGAAAAAUAACAAGAAGAAUGCACCUUGUUAGCUACGUUUACACUUACAUUGACAGUAUUUUUAUUAUAGUUACAGCGUCAUUGUAAUGCCGAAUAUUCCACAUCACUGAGACAUGUGUCGAAUAAAGACACUAGGAGGUGUCAUCGUUACCUCCUUUUUAUAUUUAUAAUUCAUAUUUUAUUAUGUAUCGUUGUUAAUAUGAAUCAUAAUGGUGUCGUUGUUAAUAUGAAUCAUAUUUUAUUAUGUAUGUAUGAUCAAAUUAUAAUAGAUUAAAGUGUUUUUUUUAUAAUAAUUACAUGAUAAUUUAGGAAAAGGAAAGAUUCAAUAUUGAUCGCCAACUUCGCUAUUAAUUUAGGACAGGAUAUUUAUUCACAGUAAAUUAGAAAUUUACACGGUUGGUUGAUGUAGGAGGUGCGCACUUGAAUCAAAAACUGCAACAUCUGAUUCUGAUCUGCGCACGCUCGUGUAUGAGUAUGUUGUACAUUAACAAAUGAAAAGAAAAAGCUCAAAGCUGAUGCGAAUAGGCAAUGGCCAUUGAAAAGCUGAAGGAGUCAAAUUCUAGACAUGCGGCUGGCUCUCCAUAAUUCUUAGGACCUGUGAACUUAUUUGUGGCCAUCAAGGCAAUACUUUACUGCACAUUAAUAAUAUAAAAUCCAAACUUACAAACCAUGCAUAUAUAAUAAUAUAAUUCUCUCACAAUUCUAUGAGAUUUAGGAAGACAGAAAGAGAUCUAUCACAGGUUAACCAAUGGGCAAUUAUUUAGAGAGAGAGAGAGAGAGAGACAGACAGACACAGAGGUUUUGAUGGUUCAAAAGUUUUCCAUGAAAUAUGUAAAAAGCUUUUUCCUCGGAUUGGUGGGGGUUGGGUGGUCCAGUAUUAGAUCAAGCCCCAAAAGGAUCCAAGUAAAGAUUCUUAAAGUUGGAGGUGAGUUUGUUUUGCAUAUGCUUAGACUUAGUCACAUGGUUAUAGACUUGAUAUAGUAGAAAGAAAAUAACUAGAGCAGAUCGGGGGAAAUAAAGUAAUGCAAGAAUAACUUGAUCUUCCCAAUUACAAGAGCCGCAUGCAAAUCUAGGUUAGGUUAGCAGAUGUAAUGCGGUUAUCCUUUACAUAUGAGUUCGAAUCUAAAUAGUAAAUGGUAAUAGAUAGGAGUAGUUUUUUUUUAUAAAAAAAAAUUGAAUGAGGAGGUUAAGAGAGGUGUGGGGUGGUCCAGUUGGUAACAUGGAACUUGGGACCAGACCAGAGAGCGAGCAAAAUCACAAAGCCCAAAAAGCAUGUGAAUUUAAGUGAAAAUAGCAGAUGUUAUGUUCGAGGAGGAGGCGGAGGAGGAGCCAAACUUUGAUUGGGAGGGGAAUGGGAUGUUGACACGUAUAUAUGGACUGACUGAGUCAGUGUGGGAAUCAAAAGGGAAAUUCAAUAUAUCCGUGCGCUGGCAUUGGCCAUUCAGAUGGCAAUUGCAAUUUGCAAAUUGCAAACAGGGUGGUCAUGGUGGGGAGUGAGAGACACUGUGCGUCUGUGAAGACUCUCACGGCAGACUCUCUCUCUCUCUCUCUCUCUCUCUCUCUCAAGUUGGGGUUGGGACCAGAGCAUUCCUGUGAGAACAUGUUGUGUUUGGGACAAUCAUCUCUAGGGUGUGCCCCAUUCCGUUGUUUUUGCUGACACAAUCACGUUAUUGCACCCUCUCAUUGCAUAGCAUAAUCACAUCACAUAUCAUAUACAUAUCACACUUGAGCUGUGUUAGCAUCAGCUGUCCACGCGAUGACUAUAUACUCUCAGUAACUUAUAGACAUCCCGUAAUAUUUCACAAUGCGUCAACGGCUAUGCUAAUAGUGUGCUAUAGUAUAACUCAUGAUAUCAAGUUAUGUAUUUUUGGGAGUCCUAUACCUUGCCUUUUUCUUUUAUUAUAUUUUCUCCUUAGAAGCUAAACUUGCCAAUUACAUAAUCCAAUUAGAUUCCAGCCACCUUGAUCAUGUAAAACCUAAGCACUUAUUACAUUUUCAAGUUCUAUCUUAAAGGUUACUCAUGCAACAAAUCAGCUAAACUGGAAAUUAUUUAGCUAUUUGAUUAUCAACAUUUUCGUUUUAAUAGAUACAUGUGACCGUCGGCAUAAUAUAGCUAACUUUAUAUUUGGCUAAAAGUUACUUACCUCAACAUCCAGCUAAGCACCACAACCAACUUUACCACACUCAGCACAAGAAUGAGUGCUCACCAAAGCUCUGCACUCAAACUGUUUCAAUCUAAACAGACAUGCAGCAACUGCAACACCAUAACAUAUCAGAUGAUGCAUUAAUUGAAUGGUGGAUGGAUGACAGACCAAUACAGAGUCCGAUCAUGUCUCGUUAUGUAAAAAAGUUAUUACGCAUGACCGACAGAAUGUAAUUGACAAGAAGAUAAUAAAACAAUGUUAUGUCGGUCAUCUAUUCUUCUUGCUGCAGUCAGGCAUUUGAGAUUUUAGUAGAGUAGCCCAAACCCUCAAAAUUAGACUCGUAGCAAAUCUAUCUCAACAUGUUCACAAAUCAGUUACUAUACCACCCACCUAUCAAUUCAAAUGCCUAUCCUAUGCGCAUCAAAAUCCGGUCUCACAUCUGUGAUGGAACAAGGGAGAAAGCCAAUUAAUGCCAAUAUUGUUGUGGAAUUUUCACUAUUGCUCAGGCUGUCUUAGCACUGUACAACGAAAGAUAAAGAAAAAAGAAAGAGGGUGAAAUAUCUUAUCACAAGUCAGCAGUCCAGUCACCACAAUUUGUUUUUGCAAAAAUAGCAUUAUCCAUCCACACUCAAAAUAUCAUAUGUUAAACGGUUAAAUUAAGCUUCUUUAACGGUAAUAACUAACAACGGACACAGUCACAGACUCCACAGAGCAGCAGCAAUGGCUGCUCCUCUUUCCCUCCACCAUAUCAGACUACCUUUCUCUUCAGAUAAUCCAAUCUUACACAACAAACCAACCACUUCCACCGCCAUCGCCGCUGCCCCCAUCACCACCGCCACCAAAACUAGUAGGACCAGCAGCCCAAUUGAACCACACCCAUGUCUCGCAUUGCUAGACAAAUGCUCCACCAUGUCCGAGCUUAAGCAAAUCCACGCCCAGCUCCUCCGAACCAGCCUCUUCUUCGACGCCUUCACCGCCAGCAAAGUCGUCGCCUUUUCCUCUCUGGAAGGCUCCGGAAGCCUCCAUUAUGCUCGUUUAGUCUUAACUCAAAUCCCCAAUCCCACCACUUAUACUUGUAAUUCGGUUAUUCGAGGCUACACCAACAAGGAUUUGCCCUGUGAAGCCAUUUUUUUCUACCAAGAAAUGAUCAUCCAAGGUUGGGUGCCUGACAGGUUCACGUUCCCAUCUCUGUUCAAGUCUUGUGGGGAUUUGUGGGAGGGGAAACAGCUGCAUUGCCAUUCUACCAAGUUGGGUUUCGCCUCGGAUUCAUACAUUCAGAACACUUUGAUGAAUAUGUACUCGAAUUGUGGGUGUUUGAUCUCGGCUCGCAACGUGUUUGAUAAAAUGUUGGAGAAGAGUGUGGUUUCUUGGGCAACCAUGAUUGACGCUUAUGCGCAGUGGGAUCAACCCAUUGAGGCUUUAAAGCUGUUUGAUAAGAUGGAGAGUGGAAGUGUGGAUCCUAACGAGGUUACUUUGGUUAAUGUUUUGACAGCAUGUGCCAAGGCAAGGGAUUUGAAAAUGGCCAAAAGGGUGCACCAGUACAUUGAAGAGUAUGGUUUUGGAAACCAUUUGAAGCUCAAUACGGCACUCAUGGAUGUUUAUUGUAAAUGUGGAUGUGUAUUGCUUGCUCGAGAUUUGUUUGACAAGAUGCCCGAGAAGAACUUGUUCAGUUGGAACAUUAUGAUCAAUGGACAUGUUGAGGAUAGUAAUUAUGAUGAGGCCUUCGUACUCUUUCGUGAAAUGCAGCUUAAGGGCGAAAAAGGGGAUAAGGUGACCAUGGUAAGUUUAUUGCUUGCUUGCAGCCAUUUGGGUGCUCUAGAGCUUGGAAAGUGGCUGCAUGCCUAUAUUGAAAAGGAGAAGAUUGAGGUGGAUGUUACCCUCGGGACGACACUCGUCGACAUGUAUGCGAAGUGUGGGAGCAUAGACGGUGCAUCGGAAGUCUUUCGAAAGCUGCUUGAGAAGGAUGUUAUGACUUGGACAGCCUUGAUUUCUGGCUUUGCAUCGUGUGGACAAGGAAAGAAGGCUUUGGAGCAUUUCCAUGAGAUGCAGACGAGUGGAGUGAAACCAGAUGCAAUAACUUUUGUUGGGGUAUUGGCUGCUUGUAGCCAUGCUGGAUUAGUGGAUGAAGGAAUUUCGCAUUUUAACUCGAUGCAUGAAGUGUAUGGCAUUCAGCCUAGCAUUGAGCACUAUGGUUGCAUGGUUGACAUAUUAGGCCGAGCUGGUCGCAUAGCUGAAGCAGAGGAGUUGAUUCGGAAGAUGCAAAUGCCACCGGAUCGUUUUGUUUUGGGAGGGCUUCUUGGUGCCUGUAGAGUCCAUGGCAACCUUGAGGCUGCAGAAAGAGCAGCUCAACAGCUUCUAGAACUUGACCCGGACGAUGAUGGAGCGUAUGUGCUUCUUUCAAACUUAUAUAGCUCUAUGAAAAAGUGGGAAGAAGCCAAAAGAAUUAGGGAACUCAUGGCAGAAAGAAAUGUGAAGAAAGCUCCAGGUUGCAGUCUGAUUGAGGUUGAUGGUAUUGUCCAUGAAUUUGUGAAGGGUGAUUCAUCUCACCCGCAAUCGACACACAUCUACGAAAUGCUUCAAGACAUGAUCGAGCGGUUAAAGAAAGCUGGUUAUGUUCCUGAGAAAUCCGAGGUGUUGUUGGAUAUAGAUGAAGAAGAGAAGGAGACUGCACUGAGCCUACACAGUGAAAAGCUGGCAAUUGCAUUUGGGCUCAUAAGCACAAACCCAGGGACAACAAUACGAGUUGUGAAAAACCUCCGUGUAUGCAGUGACUGCCACACUGCAACCAAGAUCAUCUCCAAAGUUUACAACAGAGAAAUUAUUGUGCGGGAUAGGAACCGAUUCCAUCGAUUUCAAGAUGGAUCUUGUUCUUGUAAGGAUUUUUGGUGAUGUAGCUUUAGUUAAAUAUAUUAAGAGCCUUCAAAAUUCUUGUACAUUCACGAUUUCACACAGUUUUGGUGUAAUUUUUUAUAUUAAUUCAAAGCAUCUCCACAAAUAGCGGACCGAUCAAUAAGCUAUUAUAUAAGCAUGAAUUUGUACGUGGAAACUGCUACAAGAUAUAUAACUUCAGAAAGUGGAUGCGUAGACAUGAAGUUCUGUGCGUGCUUGUAUGCUGCACGUUCUAAAGCAUCUUCACAAAAGAAAGACAGAAAGAAAGAAAAAGUAUCACACCAGCGAAGCAGGGGAGGUUUGAACUAAAGAUCCUCCCCUUGUCUUAAUUAUAAUGAUAUAAAAUUCAGUGUAAAUGGAACUGACGAUACAUACGCACUUCACAAACUGGAUUUUCAUUGAACGAUGCACAAUCCGCUGUACACUGUUCAUAUCGGCAUUUGGCUAUUAAUAUCUGUAUAGUUGGAGAUGAAAUCUAACCAACAAUGAACUCUAAUAUAUAACCCCAUCGCCAAACAGGUUGGAAUCCCAAACUUAAUUCAGGAAGAAAUAAUCUUCCUAUCAAUAUUCUAAACAAAAAGAAAAACAAGAAAACUUUUGGCACACAUUGCUUUGGUUUUAAUAGUCCUUGGGCUACGCAUGAGAGCAUGCAACCAUCAUGUAACAGAAAUGAAUCAGACACCAAAUAAUUUCCAGAUAAAAACAAUGGCAUUGUCAUUAAUCACUGGUGAAAAGAUCAGCUGAAGUGCUCUCAGAUAUCAAAUUGUAAGAACAUAAUUCGUGUGUAAACCAGAUACAGAAAAAUUCCUAAGAUACUAAAUGCUAAAGAUAAAACUUCAAACAUGCACUGCCGCUUCACCAGUAGCUUAAAUAUGACCAGGCAGGAAUGGAAUUCUCAUACAGAAGCAAGUUUACCAGAAACUGCCUUCCCUUGAUUUUCUUCAGGAAAGUCAUCACCAUCAUUCUCAACGGGAGUCUGCUUAGACACUGCUGUUUCGCGCUGGGAUGGGGCACUGCCAGCUCCAGUCACUGACUGCUGAUAAAGAACACCCCCUACAAUUGUUAAGAGGAGGCAGAGCAAACCAAAAGGACUGGCAUGCUUAUCCCAAAUCAGCACAUUGAUGGCAACCGUAAGAAACUUAUUAACAACACCAGUCACUGUAAAUGCUGUUGCAGAGAUUGCCUUCCUAGCUGCAAACCCAAAGAAACUGAUGAGCAAUCCAAACACACACGACAGUGAGACCGCGAAAAGUGCACCGGGUUCAAAGAAAUUCGCAGCAUUCGAUCCCAAAGCACCAAACACUUCAGCAUACUCUCCCGUUAUAAUCCAAAACGGUGGGGCCAUCAUUAGUGACAACAGAUUGUUGUACAACACAAAACCCCAGGUGUUCAACCCGAGAUUAGUGACCAUAUGUUUAAUAUAAACCAUCUCAGUUGUAAUGGUCACCAAAUAUGCAAAUGCCCAUGAAUAAGCGGUCAGAGUGAAACCCGAAUCAGUGGCCACAUAGCCAACAGCUCCGCCCAAAAUGAUCAACAACGACACAAAGGUAAGCUUAGAUGGGAUUGGCUGUUUCCUAAAGGCAGUAUCCGCUAGCGCAACCAAAAGGGGUGUGCAUGAUCUAAACACUAUAAACGUAUCCACAUUGGCAUGGCGAAGAAGAUUAGUGUUGGUAAAGAUUGCAAGGUAGAACACAAAGGCAGCAGGCAAAAACUUCUUGGCCGUCUGGAGUGAGAAGGGAUCAUGGUGUAAAAAUCCAAACUUUCCCAGAGCCCAAACUCCCAAUGCAGAAGUAAGGUAUUGCAGUGCGGUCAAAAGGCCAGGGUAGUUGAAUUUGGUAAUGGCAAACUUGUUUAUCACAGCUAACAAGCUGGAACAGAGUGCAUACCCAACCACGAGACUGCUCGUGGCGAAGUACGGCUUAGUUGAAUCAACUCUAAUAGAAGACAUUGAGACUAACUAAUGCACCCAAUUCAAAUUCAGAGCAAAAUCUAGCAGAUCUUCAAAAAUUUCAAGUACAUAUACAGUGAAAGACAGCGCUAUGAAAGGUUAAGUGAAUGAGAAUGAAGAGGCAAGAACUUCAUAGAAAAUCCAACAUAUGGGUAUUGAAGAUUAUGCCGAUCUGCUAUAUUGGUCAAGAAAUUAAUACAUAAAACGACGAUAUAUUGGAUUGAAAUGUAUAGAUAGAGAAUAAAUUGUACAUCACCGACACAUAGAAAAGCGCGGAUCUUGAAGCAGAAGGAAGCAAAGGAUGGCCUCGCUGUGGAGGCUGAGAUCUCAGAGAGAGCUUUGGAAAGCUUAGAGAAGCGAAAUGGGGGAGAAGAACAGAGAGAGCCUUGCAGAACAGGGAGAGAGACCGACGAAAGAAUAGAAUUGAAAUUUCUAUGGCGUUGAUUUGUCGAAAUAAGAAGAGGUGAAACGGCUUCGUUUUAAGAGUUGUUGGUUUUGGUUUGCUUGGACUAUGUCGUCGUGCGGGUUUAUGUGUUAAUGCCGUAGUUAAUGGAGCGAUAUUUAUUUAAUAUUAAAGAUUUCUUGAGGAGGAUCUCUGCAGAUUUCCCGAAUUAAUGAUCAUGUAAGUGUGAAUAUAAUAAUAUUAACAACAGGAAAGGUAAAGAAAAAAAAAGACAAAACAUGCUGUCAAAAAAUAUUCACACUUGCCUUAUAUGUUGAAAUUUUCAUAAGAAAUUGAAGUACUUCUUCAAAAAGUACUUGGGAGUGCUUCCUGAAGAUGCACAUGACAGGUGCUUCUCUAGAAAACGCUUCUAUGACUCAAAAGCGCUUCUAAACUUUUUUAUUAAGCGCUGUCAGAAGCGCUUUUAAUUGUAAAAAAGCGCUUUUAACUAUUUCAGAAGCACUUCCAAACAUGUCAUAAGUCGGUUGGUCAGGAUAAUAAGUCUGAUUCAUUACAUCUGAAUUUAUAAUACUGAAUUAAUAUUAUAAAGUAAUUUAUCCUAUUGCUUGUAUUUAAGAAAGAAAGAAAAAAAAGUUGCAGGUUGGUGCACUAAUCAAAUUGUUGGGUCGUUUGGAAGCCUCUAAGUAAUGUUCACUCUUGAAGCCCAACAUAGGCCCAAAUUAUUGCAAGCUGUUGACACAGCAAAUUAGGCCCAAUAUUAGAACCAAAGCAAGCGUUCAAAAUCACAACCAACCAAACCAGAAGCCGAAUAUGCUCACCCAACAACACAACGGUCAAUCCUUCAUGUUCAAUUCCCGCCACUUUCUAUCUAAGCCAUUCCUCUUCCCAACCUCCUGUCACAACCCCACACUAACCAAAGCAUCAUGCAUCCAAUAAAGUGACCUCUCUACAAGGAGUCAAAGGCCGUUGGUUCUGCAAAAUUGGAUCACAGAGUGGUGAUCUAUUGCCUAAUCUUGCUGAAUAUCGCUUUAUUGUGGGGACUCUCCAGUAUCUUACUUGGACUAGGCCUGAUCUCUCAUAUGCAGUCAAUCACGUGUGUCAGUUUAUGCAUACUCCAAGAGACCCUCAUCUACAAGUAGUAAAAAGAAUUCUGAGAUGCCUUAAAGGCACAAUCAACCAUGGUCUUUUUAUUCAAAAGCAAGCUACUAAUGUUCUAUCUCUGCAAGCCUACUCUGAUGCAGAUUGGGCAGGUUGCCCUUAUGAUCCACGAUCUCCUGGAGGUUAUUGCGUCUUUCUAGGAUGUACUCUCAUUAGUUGGAGUGCAAAGAACCAAUCAUUUGUGGAAAGAUCCUCAACUGAAGCUGAGUACAGAUCACUCACUUUAACAGCAGCUGAGCUUUCCUAGAUUGCAAAGUUAUUUGCAUAAAUUGGUUACAAACUUCCCUCUCUUCCAGUCUUAUGGUGUGAUAAUAUAUCUGCCAUAGCGCUAUCAAAUAAUCCUGUGUUUCAUUCUAGAACUAAACAUUUUGAGCUAGAUUUCCACUACAUUAGAGAACAAGUUCUCAAUCAAAAAUUGACUGUGAAGUAUGUUUGUAGUCAAGACCAAAUUGCUGACAUUCACACCAAGUCUUUCAGCAAGCAACGUUUCCUUUUUCUCUGGUCUAAGCUUUCACUUCAGUCCCCUCCAUUCAGCUUGAGGGGGUGUAAAGAGACCUCUCUAUAAGGAGUGUUAAAUUUAAUACACACUUGAAGAAUAUUGAAAAAUCUAGAAGAAAUUAGAAAACUCAAGAAAGUUCAUAACUUUGACAAAGUCAAGUUUUAAGAGAGGAUUGUUGUAAAUUCUAGAAAAGUCCUGAUAAAAAUCUUGUAAUAAGGUAAUAUUAUAUUAUAAAGUAGUGGCUAGGAGAAGAAGUCAAGUCCACCA